CCCGUAAUCAGACAAGAUCCAUGUUCGCCAUGGCUGCAACUACAGUUGCAUGUGAAAAAACAGGGCAUAGAAACCCAUUUCACAGACAAUCCGGGUCGCCCAGCCAAGAGAUGGGUCCUUUCAAAUGUCUGAUUUACUUGGAAAGUGUCAUCACAGCCACUUAAUUUUCCUGCACAUUUUCUCAGCAACCAAACAGAUACAAGAUCCUUCUCAGAAAACACAUUUUAAAACACAAACAAAAAAACCAAAACAAAACAAAGAUCAGCCUCAGCGCGGAAGUGAAUAGCGCGUAAAAGGAAGGCUCAGAUUCGCCUUUUAUCAGACAAGAAAAAGAUGACCGUCAUGGUUGCAACCACAGUUGCUUGUGAAACAAGGCACAAAAGGUCCCAUCACACAAACCAUCCGGGUUGCCCCGCCAAGAAACGGACAUUCCCAGUGCCUGACUUACUCUGAAAACGUCAUCACAGCCUUUUAUGUUGCCCAUAUGAACAGAGAGAGAGAGAGAGCUGUUGAUUUUCCAGAGAAUCAAGACAGCCUCUGAUAUAUAUGUAUAUAUAUAUAUAUAUAUAUAUAUAUAUAUAUGUACACACAUGUGCAUGAAAAGAAAGGAAAGAAAAGAAAGAGCCAAGGAAAAGGGCUGUUGACGGGCGUAGUAGAAGGAAUCAUCGGCUCCGACGACCAUGAGAUUCAGAGAGGGGCAACCACCCUUAGAAACUCCCCAUCCCUCCGACACAGUCCCUGGAGCCUCACUCACACACGUGUAUGAAAAGAAAGAGCGAAGGAAAAGGGCUGUUGAUGGGCGUAGUAGAAGGAAUCAUCGGCUCCGACGACCAUGAGAUUCAGAGAGGGGCAACCACCCUUAGAAACUCCCCAUCCCUCCGACACAGUCCCUGGAGCCUCAGUCUUAAACCAAUGGGGUUUAGCCCUAAGAUGUUAUUUGGUAAUCUGAUCAUGAUUUGCAGGCAAAGGUUGUGUUUUUCAGCCUGGCUCAAAAAUUGUGGAUUUAAGGUUCGUGAAAUUUAAAUCCAAUGGCACAAAAGCAAAGAGACCCCUAGAACAGAUCCAGAAAACACAGGGAGCCAAAAAAAAAAAAAAAACGCAAUUUUUUUGGUUUUCCUUGGGGGUUUUGCAUGAAUUUUCUCGGAAAUCAAACAAGGAUGAAUUUUCCCGGAAAUCGAAUGGGGGAUGGAUUUUCUUGGAAAUCAAACGGGGGUUGCAAAAACAAAAAAUAAUAACAUGAUUAGAUUAGUACCUGCGAGGAUUGAGAGUGGCAGAGGAAAAUAGGGCUUUUUAAGGGAUUCUCUCGUCCGGAGGGCAAGUUCAGAAAAGGGCUUCUUGAUGCCCCAGUGAGAGAAGUGGAUGGCCCUUUCCAUUUUUAUAUUUAGUAGAGAGAGAAAACAAGGAAACAAAUCAUGAGAACAAUUAUUCUCUCUAUAUAAAUAAUUAUUAAUUAUCCAUCUUUAUUUUGAUUAAAUCACUACCAAAAUUUGAUUUUUAUAAAUUAAAAUUAAUUUGAUAAGAUAAAUUAUUAAUAAUUUUAAUUAUUUAAAUAAAUUAAUGUUAAUAAAAAAAAGUUAUUACCACAUAUUUUUAAUAAAAUCUUAAAAAUUAAAUAUCAAAUAAAAUAUUUUAUAUAAAUUAAUUUAAUUUUUCAUUUAAAAUGUAAUAAUACAUGUUUUAAUAAAAAUAUUUAAUUUUUUAAAAUAAAUAUUAUCUUCAAUAAGAUGGACUCCUUUCAUCUAAUAAUAUGAUACUAAAGACUAUUAUAAUAUCAUAUAUAUUAUAUUUAUAUAUAAAUUAUUUUUAUUCUAUAAAAUCAAAUAUUUCUUAACUCAAUUCUAACUUUAUACACUUUCAAAAUUCAUAUUUAUUAUUCUUAAAAUUCAAAUACCGAAUCUACUAAUAUUUUCUAUUUAAUCAUAUUUAUGUCAAUUAUAUUUACAAAAUAACUUUAUAAUAUAUAUUAUUGUUAUUUUCCUUUUUUUUUUUUAAGUUUUUCCAAACAUUCUUAUAAAUUUUAAAUAAUUUUUGCUCGACCGAUAUCCGUUUACCGAUCUUUACUCUGUAUCUAUCCAAAAUAAAUGAAAGAUAGUUUUUUACAACAAUUUUUUUAAUGAUUUUUAAAUCAAAAGUUAGUUUUAAAAUCUGAAAUAUUUUUAAUCCACUAUUAUGUUUUUAAAAUUAUAUAAUUAUUUUUUAAAACAAUAAAAACAAAUAAAAUAAUUAAGGUUAUGUUUAGUUUAUUAAAAAAAAUGUUUUAUCAUAUUUGAUUUAAUAGUGAAAAUAAAAAUAUAAUAAUAAUUAAAAUUACUUAAAAACCAAUGUAGCUUUAAAAUUUUUUUUUUGAUCUUUAGCUUAAAAAAGAAAAAUAAAUAAAACGAAUUUGACAAGAUAAUUAAUCUCUCUGAAAGGAAGAGACUCAAAAGUUUUGGAGGAAGAAAAAAAGGGAGUAAGAUUUGAGGGAUAAAAAUAAAGAAGGAACAAGUGGGUGGGUAUUGCAUUAUAUCCAUGAGUUGAUCAAUAACUAGCUCCAUUUCCUUUCCUUUAUUUUCUUGCCAGCCAAACAAAAUCUUAAGUCUGGAACCAUCAUCCCAGAAACCAUUUAUUAAAAGCCAUACGCCAAGGAUUCGUAUAACACCAUGGAAUCAACCAUCAUCACCCUCUCAAACCUACAUGCCAUAGCUACACAGACUCUACUCCCAAGUUCCCAAAUAACCAAGCUUCAUAUCUACUAGCUCCAAAAUGGUUAAACAAGAUGAAAGAAGGAAAGGAAGAGAUUACUUGAUGAGAGCCUGGUAAAGGCAGAUCUGCAAAAAUUACAAGCCUUGUCCACAUAGCUUUAUGUGGUCCCAUGGUAUCUAUUUAUAGCCCCAUGAAAGCAGAAUUACUUCUUCAUUACCAAAUGUCAGCAUAGGCAAUGCCCGACCUCCAUCUUCCCAUGGCUGCCAAGCCCUUUUAUCAAUAUGUGAAGAUGCAAACCAAAAUGGUUAGCCCAUCAUCCAAAGCUAGCUCCUCCUCCUUAUUUACACCUAACGGUUUCCCUGAUUCACAACAAGUUCAAUUUCCUUGCUCGACAUCUUUCAGAUAGAACAGAACAAUUACGAUUACAAUCACAAAAUGUAACACCACCCCACAUCUUCCUCUGUUUAUCUAAGCAUUACAAGACCUCAAAGUUGAUGUUCCAUCAUCAUAAUAGGCAUGGUGUAUUUCCAGUCUCAAACAAGUUAAGGUUCCAUCCUAACACCAUAAUGGUGGGUUGUUUUACUUCAGACAACGAAUCUGAGUCAGUUAACAGGCAAAAAGAAACAUUCAAUAGUUCAAGAAGAUCACUUAGAAUUUUCUGAAAACCUCAAAACCGUUUUCAUUUAUAAUUACAAACCAACCCAAAAAUUGAACAAUACGAGGCACUGGGCUGAACAAUCACCUCAGAACUCUGGUAAAAAAGAUGAAGGUUUCUAUAGAUAAAAUGGCCUUUGCAAAUAAAGCAAUGAGAAAAAUGGGAUAUAAAUUAAGGAAUGAUAGAAUGAAAAUGUUGAAAGGAAUUGCACAUGGCUUCAAAGAAUGAAUAGAUUUGGUACCCUUGCCGAGAAAUUACAUGGCUGCCUUGCCCCUCUGUUGAAGUACUACAUCAUGCACAACUUCCCCUGCUGAGUUAACAAAGUAGGUUUCCUGCCAUGGAAAAAGAACAUUUGUUGGUGCUUCAACAAGAACAAAUUUAGUAAAAAAAGACGAAUACUCACAAUCUCUAAGGAGCUGACUCUAUGAAGAAGGAACCCAUUAACCAUUCCCCUGAGGAAACAAAGAAAAAAAUUUCAUAUGUAUGAACCAAUGUAGAACACCAUUAGGAACUAUGAACAGAAAUACUCACUUACUAAAACCUGAUAUUUGAUUUACAGAAGCAAGAGGAAGUUUUUCAUCAAUUGAACCUGGGUUCCUGAUGUAGGCUAUACUAUCUUUACGAGCAUAGUCACUACAUCCCUCCCCACUCAGGUACACAUCCUGAUGAGCAAAUGCAUGGAUAAAGCGUUACUUUCUUCAUAGGCACCAGAAAGAUUCCAAAUUUGACAUAUCAGAAAGUUGUUCAUUCAAUUCAUUAGGAACUGUCUUAGAUUUUCAUAUAUAUUGAAAAUUUUGGACUUUGAUCAUCUCAAAAGCAAGUUCUCUAAAGAACCCAAAAUCAAAACCUUGGGCAUGGGAUGUCUUCACCCAUUGAUACUCAAUGGGGAGAGCCAUAAAUACUUACCACUCCAAACUUAUAAAAAAUAUGGUGUAGAUGCUCAUAAAGUUGUAUUUCUAUUCGUUCCCUGUUUCCUUCACAAACAGCCAAUGAGCAGAAACCAACAACUAUGCGCCUGGAUCAUAAGGAGGAAAAAAGGAGACAAUUAGUACUUGGGAAUUGGGAUGGAUAGUUUCUUUAUUAAGUUAAAUAUGGAGUUGAAAUGGUAGGGGUGCUUGGCAAUGGCAAUAGGACAGCAAACAAUGAAGGUCCAACAUAGUAACCAGAGAAAACAAAAGGAAAACGAAUGUUUUAACUCAACAAUUUGGGUUAAGGCAAAAUUUAAAUGAAAACCAGAAUUUUAUUGUUGAAAGAAAGAAAAUUUGUGAAAUAAAAUUAAGUUGAGAAGUAGAUUAUCACGCAUCAGAACCACUCUGAACUGACAUGAUUUUCAAAUUUUUCAAAAUUUUCCAGGCAUUACAACCUUGCUUAUUCCUAGGUUCAUGCAAUUAUAAACAGCCAAUAUGGUGCAAUGUAACCUUACCAGUCGCUAUCUGAUGUUUCUAGUGUCUUUGUCAGCCCAUGUAAUUGAUCAUUUCCAGCACCAUUUAACGGAUUCAUAAGCAUAAAAUCCUUCAAGUUUCAAAGAGGAGACCAAUUAAGAGGAAAGAAGAAUGAAAUGCGGCAUAAAGGAGCAGAAACCAAAAAACAGAAACAAAUGGGGGAUAAAAUGUGUGAUAAAUACAUCUAUGGGAUAUUGAUAGUGUAACUAAAUGAAAUAGAUAUCAAAUCAAUCAUAUACACAUAUAAAUACAACACAGAAAUAAGCAUGGCCAUGGUGAAAAAGGGCUGCAAUGUGGGUUGUAACCAGAGAAUGGAAUAUGGACAAGGAGCAUAAAAAAUGAUUUGGCAGGCCAAGAAAUGGCUAUUUUAAUAUGAUGAAAAAGAAAAAGAACAAAAAAAAUUCAUUAUGAACAUGACUUGAAGAGUACACCUACGCUCAAAUAAUGACCAAGUGAUCAACUUUAAAAUCACAUUGCUAACCUCAGCCCUACCCCUCAUGGAAAAAUGGAAAAAAUAAAUAAAAAGAAAAAAAAUUCUUAGAAGGCCUUGAGAAGGGUAAACCUGCUGGGACUCAAACCCGGAACCACCCCACAUCCCCACCCUCAACCCAAGCUACUCGAGCCACGCCUCAAGGGUGAUAAAGAUCUAACCUUCAGCAUUGAAUAAAAAAUAAGCUAAAUGUGCAAAAAAUAUCCAGUAUUUUCUCAUGCAUUUUAAUUGCUUACUAGACUAGAUAGAAUCUCCAGUCAUUGAUGAGAACAAAGAACUCAGUGUCUUUAUUAUUAUUAUUGAAUAAAAAAUAAUCUAAAUGUGCAAAAAUAUCCAGUAUUUUCUCAUGCAUUUUAAUUGCUUGCUAGACUAGAUAGAAUCUCCAGUCAUUGGUAAAAUUCAAUAAUUCCAAUUUCCACCAGUUGAUUUGUCAAGUCCCUAAUUAAAUAAUGAAAGAUAAAAUACUUUGAUGAGUUAUAUACUAAAAUAUUUGUGCUUCCCAAUCUAAUUCUAACAAGAACCCUACAAAAUGCACACCUUAAUCCAACUCAACCAACACUCAAUCUUGCGAUUGCCUCAUAGUCCACAAGGUACAUCGGAGAGACCUAACUUAUCUUGAUGUUACAAGAUUUCACAUGAACAUCUGAAUACAUCUCCUGGGGCAUGGUAAAGAUGAAUAUAAAAACAAAAUGAAAUCAAUACAAGAAGUUGAUAGCCCCUCUAUGAUCAUAACUGGGGUCAGCACAAUCAGUAACAUAAGAUUCAUGGCGUAGUAUCGCAUUCCAAACAAUAAAAUAUUGAAGUGUAUCAUAAACUCAACACAAGCAUAUGCAAUGUCAAUUAUCAUUAAGUCAACAAUGAUAUUAAACAUUGGUAUAAACAAUUGAAACAAUGACAACACAAAAGGAAAAAACCUUAUACAACUAUUAAUCUAUCCUCUUUGGAAGUCUUUUAUCAUCUUCCACAAAUUUCCCAUUUUCCUCCAUAUGCUGCACAAAAUCCGACCCCAUAUUUUUUGUAUCUUUGUCAUCAUUAAAGGAAAUAAAUGCAUGCAACUUUUAAAGAUUUGAGGCCAUGUGAAAAACUUGUCAUUUGAUGUCAAGUUUUUUUAUAUGAAAAAGUUUUCCAAAAUGAGAAUGGCAGAACUAUCAAUCUAUCUUCAUCUAGGUUUGGAGCUUCUUGAGUCUUUUAUCAAUUAUCAUCCACCAUAAAAUUCCAGUUUUCUUCUGUAAAUUGCUCAACCUCCAACAUAAUUUUUAAUUUUUUUUCUAAUUAAGAUUAAAUACAUGCAUAUUUUGAAGAUUAAGCCAUGUGGAGAAUUGUCAAUCAAUCGUAAGUUUUUCCUAUAUCAAAAGCAUUUUUUAAAAUUUUCGGCCUUGUUGGAAAAAAGACCUAAUGAGAUGGGUUUGUAUCACAAAACACUAAGGAUUGACUCAAAAGUCCCAAUGAAAUUAUAGCUACUGUAAAAACCAUGUAACCGCUUUCAAGCUUAAACCCAUAUUACAAGAGGAUGGUGGAAGAGGCCUCUCUUCUGACUGACAUAAUAACCAUGAGAAGUAUUAGCCAACAAAUCUUAAAUUGAGCAAAUUCAACAAACCAGUUGAUACCUUAAAUGCCCCAGUAUCCAAACUAAUAAUGUCUAAGGUCUUCCCAAAAGGUAUUUUGAUCUGCUUUAGGAAGUAACCUGUUCCUUGUCCUCUUGAAACUCUGGUACUGUACCUACAAGAAUUACAAUUCAGGAUUACCACACAAAGAGACUAAACCAAAAAGACUGUUACAUUAAAAACUACAUUGGAGUCCAAGUUUUGUAACAAUGAAAUUUCAAAAGAUGAGCUACAAAAAUGACACAACUGAUUGCAAAGUGGAUGGCAUACCAGGGAACUUUCAGUGUUGAAAAACGCCAAGUACCCUGUAAAAGAAGAUGUCAUCUUCUAAGAUUGUUCCUAACAGAUGAAACCAAUGAAACCUAAUUAAACUCAGCAGUAAUUUAUUUUCUAAUCACACACCUAUAAAGCAAAACAAAAUAAAACUACAGAAUUAAAUAUGAACCACUAUUCCAUUACUCCAACCAAAGCAUGGUUUCUAUUAUUUCAGUUAAAUUCACAAAAAGUUAGGAGAGAAUCAUUUCUACAACUUACCCAGAGUGAAGCAAUGCAUAACUUUGAUUAAAUUUGGCUAAACUAUGACAACUAAAGCUUCCAUAUAAAUGGAGUGUAAGCCUGAAGGUGCCACAAGAAAGUUCAUAUAACAAAUAGUAAAAGGGCUUCCCACAUUGAAUUUACUAGCCAUGGUCUUACAUUCUGUGUGAGUGGAUCGUCUUCCCCAAGUUCACUAAUGUUUAUCACAAACCUUGCCUCAUAAGUCUUUGCCGCCUUCUCCAUCUUCAUGGGAAAAAACAAUUCAAAUUAGAACAGGGAAAAUAGAAUAUAAACUCAAAAUGCUAUUAAUGUUAGUAGACGAUAAUCAUUUAAUGCAACUAAGUUCAAUAACAGAGGGGGGAAAUAACAAAGCCUAAAAACAGAGAAGGUGGAAGGCAGAAGUAACUUGGAUGAAUUAGAACCAAGAAGACAAGACAAGAUCAAAACCAACAGAUGAGAAGGCUGACACAAACAAUUGAGAGAGAUCAAAAACUGAACCAUAUAAUAAAAAACUCACUCACAUGAUUAUUCUUUGGCCAAAAGAUAAAGGUUAUGUUUGGUUCCAAAAAGUACCAAGGAAAGAAAAAAAUACUAAGAAAUAUUAUUAUGUUGCAUAUACAAUUAAAAACGGAAAAAGAAAGAUCUUCUAGGGUUCAACAACUGUCAUAUUAAAAAAAUAAUAAAAAUAAAAUUUCGAUCCCAGUAAAACCUAACACAAAAUUCUUUCCUCAAAGCAAAAUCAUUCACAUAGAAAGUAAUUGAGAAAGAAAUAAUAAACUGUUUGGUUGCUGAGAAAAUGGAGACAUAGAAAAGGAAAUCAAAAUUUUGAAACUCUAUUAUUUCCAUUAUUUGAAGGCCUGGAAGAAAGAGGGAAAAAAACUUCCACUCUUACCUUAAUUUAGGUUGUUUUGUCAAUUUCGAGAGGGGAAAAAACAGGAAAUUAAUUUCAAGCGAUUUCACUUUCAGCAUUCUCAGCAACCAAACGGAGCGUCUGAUAAAACUAUCAUAUCCACCAACAGAGCCAAAACCAAAUAUACCCACCAUCAACAUCUUAAAACAAAAUCCAUAUAGAACGAGAAAAACCCAUGCUUUUCUUCAAUGAACAAAAGGAAUCAAUAGAGAGGAUGAGAAAUAGACCUGUUUGAGAAGAUGGGUUUGUUGAUUAAGAGGUCUAAAUCCUCCUCUAACACUGAUAAAGUAAAGGUCAAGAGGCCUGCUACUGCCACUGCUGCUGUGGGACAUGGGCUUCUCCCAAGGCCGACCCAAGUUGAAUGCAAGCAAGACAGCCAAGCAGAGAGACAACUGUGUUAUAACAGUGCGAACCCAUGAAGGUUUCCCCAUUGUUAACACAGGUCUCACAGCCUCAGCUAUUCAACUGGUAAUUGAUUUCACUCAUAGAUCUGAAGAUAUAUGAGGAACGUAACCGCCGUCACCCGUAUCUCUAAUCUCCUCAAUGUUAUCUGUAGGGACCCCUCCCACACGUGGCACACAUUUUCAUCCGAGUUAAUCUCAUCCGGAUUUCCCCAAGAGUACACGUGGUGCGCUUCUCCUAUCCGGACUCCCUCAAGAAGAGGCACACGACACUCACAAACAUAACAUCCAGAUGACUGCCACAGCGCAUCCGGACGACCGACAUACACUAUCCGGGUAUAUAUAUCCGGAUCAUUGAUUGAAGUAAGCAAGUCUUACACGUUAUUACAACAACCUGUCAUGGCCCACGUUCCGCCACCUGUAGGGUGAAAGGACAAGAAUGAAGUGACGGCAAGUCACUUCCUGCGAUCACUUCCCACGAUUUCUGACAGUCGCAGCAACUACCACGAUCUCUAUCAGCCGCCUAUAGGGUGAUGAUGGCCCUGCCACCACCUAGUGUCAUCAUGACAACACAAAAUAUCUCCCUACCAUUAAAGAGAGAAACAAAGCUUCUGAUAUUAUAUAUAUGAACCUUCACACAAGGAGUAAGGUAAGCUUGCUAUACCUAGUAAAAUGCCAACUGAUUUAUCUCUCUCUAACCAUGGCUGACAAAACCAUCGGAGGGUGCGUCCGGACACCCUGUCCGGACGCCUUUUGCAGGUAGUACGAUUGAAUCAAGAAUCUAUAUUAGUUGAGAUCGUGCAUCCACCCAUUUGGCAACUAAGUGGAUCACCAGGGAUGCGACGCUUCAACAUUAUCAAUUGCUUGAUUAAGAUAUUCGCUAAUGAAGCUCCACUUGGCAGGCAGGACCCAUUAUUGAAGGGAAAUGCCUUUAUAGUUCGUUUAUAUUAUGGACUCUCGGACUAAAAUCGCUUUGUCAUAUUUGAAACUUUCCUCACAAACAAACGCACCAUCAGCCAUUAAACAUCAUAUUUCAGCAUUCUUUUUUUGCACAUUGUCACAUUCCUAUCUCCUAAUUUUCAAAAAUUAUUUUAAAUUUAAAAAUUGAGUUACCACUUCAAAAUAUAAACUUUUAAAAUAAAAUUAUGUACAUUUAAAUCCAUACUAAAUAUGUGUAUUUGCGUUUAUUGCCUUGUAAUAAUAUUUUAUUCUUUAUUAUUAUUAUAAUUUAGAUGAGUUGGUUCGAUCUAAUAUAAUAUUUGAACAAAUUUGGAUAUUUAUUUUUAAUAUUCCGAUUAGACUUUGGUUCAUUUUUUAAACCUCAUCUUAAUUUGGAUUUGACUUGGGAGAUACCUCUAAUGAAAAUUAAUAUGGUUCUCUUCAUACAUUCUAUUCUACUUUUCUUUUAAUAUCUUUGUUUAUUCUCUCGUAUUUUCUUAUUCUUAUUCUUUUAUUUCACAACAUGUUAUCAACAGAGUUAUGAAUAUAUAGAAAAAGAGAAGAAUACUUAAGGUAGAAAAGAAAAAGAGAAUAAUUCAUCUACAAAAUUUCUUAUAGAUAUGUAGUCUUAUUCUCUUCGAAUGAAAUAUGAAUAGUAUGCAUUGUAUUAUUAUAAUUUUUAUUUACUUUAUCUCAUAACCAGAAGUUAUGUGAAUCAUAUUUCAUAUAAUUACAUAUUUUAAUUAUUUAAUAACUAGAAAUUAUAUAGAAAGUUUUUUAUAACCAGAAGUUAUGAAAAAAUAUAUGUCCAAUCUUCAUAACUAGAUGUUAUGGAGUAAAUUACAAAAACACAAAUACGUAGUCGGAAGCUAUGCAUAAGAUCCCUAAUUACUUUUUAAUUGUAUUAUAUAUCUAAAAGUUAUAUAAAAUAACAUUAUAUGGCCAGAAGCUAUAUAAUGAAUAGUUCAUAACAUGAAGCUAUGUACAAAUCCAAAAUUACAAAUAUACGACCAGAAGCUAUGUAUAUAACUCAUAAUUAUUUGUUUUUAAUUAUAUAGUUGUGGACCCGCAAAUUUCACGUGCGCCCCCACUCGAUCGACGAGACUCGCUUUUUGUUGGUGAAAAAUUAAUUUUGGAAAAUUCAGAGUCACCACUUAUUUUAUUUUUAUUUUAAAGGGAAAAUAAAAUAAGAAAUAAAACUCUAAAAAAAAUGACUCCAUAAUUUUUGGAAAAGCGUGUCUUUGAAAAAAAACCCGAGUCUAAGUCCGGGGAUUAGGUUACUUAUUGGGUAGGUACCUCUAGGAGGUAGCAUCUUUCUAAGCCCUAAAGAAGUCUCUACUGACUAAAUUGGGGGUAAUAUAGCAAUUAAUUGAUUAAUUGGGGAUACCAAGAUAGGUUAAAGUGAUUUCAAAAAAUAACAUGCCAAAUAGGAUCAAAUUACCAUAAAAGAGAGUUAGGGUGCAUACUUGGACGACUUCUCAAGAGCUAUCAUAAAACAUGAAAGUUAGUAUUGAGAUACAUCACACAACACGCAUUUUAUCAAAGAUAAUCAAACAAUGAUCAAAUAUAUAUCAAGGCAAUCAAACAGGAUAGCAAGCAUGGACAUAGUACGCAACGACAAUCAUAUUCAUAGGGUUUAGAAAGUGGGUAUUAGGGAACGUACCUGGAUAGCAUUUAUAACUCCUAAUGCACUUCCUCAAGACAUGGGGGUUAGAUAAUAAAUAAUAAAUAGUAAAUCCUAGCAUGCUUAUCUAAUUAAUUAGCAAAAAUUAUCAGAAUACGGAAUAAUUAAUUAUCAUACAUAUCUUGUAUACAAUUCCUAAAAAGAAAAAUGUAAAUAUAAUUACAAUAAAUAGCAGGGUGGUAGUAAAAAUAAAUUUUGAAAAAGAUUUUCUUAUGUAGGGGUUUCACCAAUUCCCCAAAUUAAUAUACACAAAUUUAGCCUAAAAUUAUCCCAUUUAUUUGGGACCACAAGCUUUCAUUCGCGUUUUGUUCAAAACCAAAAUUUUUGUUGAAAAUUGAGAAAGAUGUGAACCGAUUAAGAUACGGUUGCAUAUUAUUUUUUAAAAAAAAGAAAAGAAAAGAGAUUUUGAUUCUAGAGGCUUUAAAUGAAUUUUAUAAAAAUAAAAUAAAAUCUUAAAAGGUUUUUUUGAGAAAAAGAGUUUUGCUUUAAAAUAAAAGAAAUUAACUUUUAAAAUAGCAAAAAUAGAAAACAAAAUAUCAAUCAAAACAAAAGGAAACAAAGAUCACAAAAUAAAGAUUUUAGAAAUUAUUGUCAAUUAAAGUGGUGAGAGUAAAGGCCAACCUUCAUGGGUUUCCAAUGGCCCUAAAAAAAAAAAAAAAAAAUUUGACCAACAAUUACUAAGGCAACAAAUUUAUGACUUCCUAAUCAAACAAACUAACAAAAUUAUCAUACAAAAACUAACAUUUAGAUUUCAAGAAACAUAUGAAUAACUAGAAUUAAAAAUGUAAACUUUACCUCACAGGAUCAAUUAAACUAAAGAAUUAAGAUUGAUAACACGUUCAAAUUAAAAAUAAACUAGAAUUUAAACUAAUCGGAAUUAAAACUAUAAACUUUACCUUACAAGACCAAUUAAACUGAUAGAUUUAAGAUCAAUAACUCAUUCAAAUUAAAAAUAAACUAAAAUUAAACUAAUUGGAAUUAAAAAUAUAAAUUUUACCUCACAAGAUCAAUUAAACUAAAGACUUAAGAUCAAUAACAUAUUCAAAUUAAAAAUAAACUAGAAUUAAACUAAUUGGAAUUAAAAAUAUAAAUUUUAUUUAAACUUUCAUGUAGAUUAAAAUAAACUAGCAUAGAACUAAUGAAUUGCAAUCAUAAAAGAGAGACAUUUAAUCUAAGAAAAAUAAAAGAUUGUUCGAAAUCGAGAUUUAAAAGAAUUUAUCACAAACAAUUAAUUAAACCAAUCAACAAAAACCCAAACUAAAAAAAAAAGAAAUAAGAAAUAAUGUAUCAAAAACCGAAAACUAACCUGUAUUGUAUCGGAAAAAUACUCUCUUGAUGUGUCAAAAUGACAGCCCAAUUAGUCUUUCAAGUCCUCUGCCAUUCCCCAAAAAAAAAACUCUUGCGCGUGCCCUCUCAAAAAAAGAUUGCCUCUUGUAUGUGGAUCUCUGCUCCAAAAGAAAAGUCCUCUCCCUGCGCCAAAGAAAUAAAAUUCCCGUGUCUGUCUUCUCUCUUACUUCUUCAUCAAUUUUCAGCCGUUGAAGACCCUCGUCAAAUGCACAUAUAUUUAAUAGAAAAUUCAGUCACUUCACUAACAACAAGGAGUCAUAAUUUCCUCCACUAUUCUGCCAUAAUUUUCAGCUCACUUAUCAAUGCUCCUUCACCAAAUUUCCAACGCAUUUCAUUGUGAAUUUUCAGCCAUGAAAAAAAAGCUUCCAUUCACAGCCACAAUUCCCGUGUGUCCACCACAAAAUUCAGUUUUCAAGAAUUCACCUUUUGCAUGAAACUACCAUCAAAGGAAUUCUCCAUAUGCAGCCAUAUAUUCCGUGAUUCAUCCAUGGAGAUUUAUAAAUUCAAGGCCAUUAUCUCCAUUAAACUAUUUUAAAAUUCAUCCAUGGAGAUUUAUAAAUUCAAGGCCAUUAUCUCCAUUAAGCUAUUAUAAAAUUCAUCCAUGGAGAUUUAUAAAUUCAAGGCCAUUAUCUCCAUUAAGCUGUUAUAAAAGUCAUCCAUGAAGAUUUUAUAUGCAAGGCCAUUGAAACCUGAUUGGAAUCAAGUAAUUAAUAUUCACAAAGUGGCUGCCCAUUCUCCAUCAGAAUCAAAGUGUUAACACGGCUGAAAGUGAAUGAAAGCCUUUCCCUUUAACCAAGGCAUCAACACGGCUGAAUGUGUAUAGAAUCUUCUUCAUUAAAUCAAGGCGUCAACACGCGUAAAGGGGAUGAAAUUCCUGCCCGCUUCGAUGGAGAUCUCCCCUCCUUCCCAGAAUAGUGCAGCUGAGUUCCAACCCCCCACCUCAAAAAUCUGAUUCUAAAUGUCUCCGACCUGUUGUGUGUGUAGCUCUCCCGAUCUGACCUGUGCGCGUGUUCUUGGAAAAUCAGAAUUGUGCGUGGACUCCUUCAUGCGGCUGUGGAGACUUCCUGAAGUGGUGUGUGGCUGUUAGUGCGUGGUCCCCAUGCUUGAGAUUCAACUUAAGCACAUGCAUGCAUGGAUUCCUUCAAUGAGAUAUCCUUACUCAUUUUUUGCAUGAGUUUGUUGACGUAAGUUACUAGGGAGAGGGUAAAUCCUUUCUUUCUUUCGCUAUUAGUUGAUCUAAAGGCUUUUAUGGUUAUUGAGUGCACUAGACUAGAAACAUACUUGCCCCAUUAGCAUGCAUAUAACGGAGCAACCAGCCCCCUUCAACAUCUCUCAUAACGUGUUCUACACUGUUGAAAGCUAAAUCCACAUGAGGUGUGUGAUGCAUAGCUAAAAAAACGCCAGUGACUAAAGAUUUUCGGAGAAGUGAUGCAAAACCUGUCUAGUCCUCUCUCACUGCAAGUCAUAGGGCCAGAAAGUCAAGCAUGGCCCAGCCCGUACCUCUCUUUCCUAGCUUCAUCUUGGCUACGCUCGAUCAUGAAACUAUCUCACCUCCGACUUUUUUUCACUAUUUACUCUUCUCUCAUUCAUGCACCAUACAUCUUAUCUGUAAUGAUAAAUUCAGAAUUCAAUCUGCUGUUUCAGUCUUAACCUCAAUGAUUGCUGGUUGAUCCUGAACUUCAUGCUUAUUUGCCCUUUGUGCAACUCUUAUUUUUUUCUUGGAUUGGUGCACAUAUUCUGCUGUUAUAAUAUGGAUCUUGGGAGUAGGCUUACUUGAUGAGGCAACAUUAAAACUUGACCUUUUUCCCGGCUCGGUGGAGAUAUUUCUGAGCCUAUUGUAAGUGGACGGUACAGAGAACAAGAAUGAAAGACUUCAAUAUUGGCUUCCCACAGGUUAUGGGUCCCGUCUGCACUGUCUUGAUGACAUAAUCACAGGGCUUGUAAAUCCGUUGUUUCGGAUCACACAGAAUAUGCAGAUAACAGAACCUUGUUAGCGCCCUCGCCUAAUCCUCCUUGAACGUCUGUAUAAUCAAAAGCCCCUCAUCUUCUUCCCAAGACGUCAAUUUCUUUUUGUAUGGAAGUUUCCAUAUAUUCUUCUAUGGGCAGCAACUUCUUUUCUUCCUUGUAGUCGUGUCUUCCUUAUAUGCAUGGUGGAGGUAACUUUAUAAAAUAAUGCAGCUGUCACUUUCCUUUCUCUAAAAUUUUGGUGAUCUUCCUUCCAAAUAGAUGGCAGCCCGUUUUUUAGAAAAAUAAUAAUAAUAAUCUUAUUUCCAUCCUUCAUUCAGCCGUGAUCUGCUUUCCUUUCUUCAACACUAUAAAUCUCAUUUCCAUGUUGCAUAGAAUAUCCCCACAUAUAUGCAGCCGUGUACAUUACAUCAAGAAUCUUCUCCAAUGUGUGCAUUCGAAUCUCAUGCCAAAAUAAAAAAAGAAUUAAAAUUAGUAAAGGUCAUGAAAUUGAAAAUUAAAACUAAUUUAAAAUUAUGCAAUUAAAAAAACAUUAUGUCUAUCAUAGGUACACAAAAAUAAUUAAGACAUCAGUUUACACAAUUAAUCAUCAAUCUCAUGCAAUAUUCUAUCAAAUAAAUAAAUAAAAACAAAUAACUAACCAAAUAAUAAUAAAUAAACAAGUAAAUAAAUAAAUAAAAUAAAAUAAAAUAGAUAAAUAAAUAAAUAAGAAAUCGAGUACAUGCAAACAUUAAAAGUGCAAAUCAUGCAAAUUAUGUAAGUCAUGUAGGAAUUACUGAAAAGGUGACAUAGGUGGGCCAGGAUGCCUAAGUGGACCUAAAGUGAGUGCGUGUAGGCUAGAAGGUGCCUAGAUGGGUCUAAGCGGGUCAAGGUGAAUCUAAGUGGGCCUAGGGUUGUGCUUAAUGGGCCAAGUGUAUUUAAAAACUAUCCUAAAAAUGAAUGAAAAGCCUAAUUCUAAAUUAAGGCUGCCAAGGGUCACAAUAAGGAGUCAGAUAAUCCCUCAACCAAAGUCUCCGAGAUGGCUCAAAAAAAGUAAGUAGUAUGAGUAGCUAUGGGCCACCAAGGAACUACUGUAAAGUAUCAAAUAAGUAUCUAAUAGGGCAUGUGCUAGGAGGACAAAAUUGAGGGUCUACAAUAGUAUAACUGAAAGUUAUACAAAAUAAUAUUUUAUACCCAGAAGCUAUAAAAUGAAUAGUUCAUAGCUUGAAAUUAUGCACAAAUCUGCACAAUGAAUAGUUUAUAGCCUAAAGUUAUGCACAAAUUUAUAUAAAAAAUAGUUCAUUGCCUAAAACUAUGUACAAAUUUAAAUAUUUUCUUGUUCUAACAAAAUAAUCAUAACUUGAAGCUAUGAAAGAUAUUAACUUUUAAUUUCUUUAUUUUCUUUUAAUUAUAUUGUUGUGGACCCCGCAUUUCGGCUCAAUGUGUUUCCCACUCGAUGGCGAGCUCGAUUUUUAUUAUUUUUGAAAAAUUGAUUUUUAUUGAUUAUUUGAAAAUGACUUGGAGUCGCCACUUAUUUUUGUUUUAUUUUUAAAGGGUAAACAAAAUAAGAAAGAAAAACCCUAAGUGUGACUCCUCAUUUUGGAAAAGGUGAUCUACGAAAAUCGGAUCAGGUUCGGGGGUCAGGUUACUUAUCGGGAAGGUACGGUAAAGACCGUAGCACCCCUCUAAGUCCCUAAGUCGGGUCUCUACUAAUGAGAUGAAGCUGACAUGGCAAUCAAUGAGAAAAUCAAUAAAUACUCGAACCAAUCAUGCACAUAUGAGAGUCAGAAAAUGCAUAUAAACUAACCAGAGUGGGAAUGAAUGUGUACCUGAGCAGCGAGCCACUAUGCGCUAUCAAGAGAGAGGGUUAGUGCAAAAUAAAGAGCAUAAACAUAGCUCACAUGUCACUAAAUCGAGUACAAAAUCAUCAAAGGCACGCAUGACACUUCACUCAAAAUUCAUUUUUAUUUUAAAGAAAAUUUAUUUGAUGUUGGGCCCUCACCAAAGCCCAUUUAUUUUGCACGAAUCAAUUCCAUAAAUCCCAUCACCUGAGAAUUACAAAAUUUGAUUUUUGGCUUAUUUUAAAACAUUUUAAAAUCAGAGAAGUUAUGAAAGUUGCAUGCCGAAGAGAGAUGGCGGCAAAUUUUAUUAAAAACAGAAUUUUGGAACCUAAAGAAAACCUAAGGAUGAAAGAUGGUAAAUAUUGAAAUUAUUUGAAAAUCGAUGUUUAAAAAAGUUAUUUGCAAGAAAGGAGUCAGAAAAUUAUUUUCUAAGCCAAAAGAUUGAUGGAAUGGGAGGUGACACGUGACCCAAAGGUGGCCAUGCAGAGAAAAUCCCAUUAUUAACCCACUUUGAAGGAGUGUUCUUUCUCUUAUUUCCUUUCUCAGUACAACGAGCCUGAUUUGAGGAAAAAACUGAGUCAACUUCCAGAUUUAGGGCCUCUCAGCAAUCCUUGAUUUGAUCUAUUCUGGGUUCGACAAAAGAUCUUCCCUCUGCAUCUCAAUCUCUCUUUCCUGGUUCACAAUCUCCUUGGGAACAUCUUCUAUAACAAGAGAUUGCACUUGAGGACAGGCAACAACUUGCAUGGCCAGGUCAUCAAUUAGCUUCACUUCUUAUCUCUCAAUUCGCAUCUUCAACAGUUUUCAAGCAUAGAGUCUCCUUUCCAGCCUCACCUUGGCCUCCUGAGUUCCAUUGCUUCUUGCAUCACUCGCCUCGCUUUACAGCAUGUGAAGUCCUGUACUUCCACUGGAGCCCAUGCUAAACUGGCUAUGGAUGGCUUGAUGGAGUUGCUGCCGAAGAUGAAAUGAGUAAAGGGCCCCUAAGUUAAACCCAUCAUGUCGUCCCAUAGGAAAAUGCUGAAAUUGCAUCAUAGAUACAACACUAUCACAAAGUUAUUCUUUCCGGUGAGGGUCCAUAGGAAAAUCAGUAAUUCCACCCUUAAAUCCUGGUAAUACAGGAAAAUCUUCAUUCUGGAUACUGAAUUCUCAGUUUUGAUGGACAACUCCAAUGCUUUGUUUCCACAGAGAACCCAGCUAUCCUUGAAAACUACCAGCAGAAUUGGGGUGAGCGAUCAGUUGGGGAAGACAGCAACAACACGCACUGAAUUUGUGACGAAACAUCUGAAAAGCGGGAUACUAGCUGAUGAAGAGUGUAGCUGAACAAGUGAUGAGAAAAUUACUGACAGCACGGUGUGGGUCGCCAUGGAUGGCACUCUAUAGACGGGACUGUGGUCUGGGAAUGAGGCUCUCCGAUGUGAAUAAUCGGUAUCUUAAAGGCAGUCUCAUCAGUUAUAACUUGGGGAUGCAAACCGCACACCCAUAUCAAUGAAACCAAUGAUAACAUACUCUUGAUCCUUGAUGGAAUAUCAAUCUAACGACAUAGGAAUCCCAGGUCAAUCUGUGAAACAAAGGGACCUCAAGGUGAAUGGUCAGCAGUGCAUUUUCGUCGUCCUCACGGAAAUUGAUGUCACAAACGGGCCUUCAUGAUUGGAUUUUCCUUUUCACUGUUCCAUUGAGGAUGGUAUUUCCCAUGCAUUUUUCCAUUUUGCAUGAAGAUGAGAAACUUCAGAACAAAUCUCAGCAGCAUAUGUACGUGCCAAAUCCUCUCUGAAAAGACACGGUUGCGAAACAGAAAGAGUGACCCCCAUUUACAAAAUCUGACGAAAGGCACAGUCGAUGUUUGGUCUGAAAUGAGUAUCGGAGCUGGAUAAUGAAAGGGUGAUGAGUUGGAGUGGUUUUGGGUGCUAAUGUAGAGUGAGAACUGUGAUGACGGGUAUCAGUGGGUGAUGGCAUCCAUGAGUGAGAAAUGGAUAUGCAUGAAGGGGUGUGGUGUAGAAAUGGAAAAGGUGGCGGAGGAUUCAUGAAGGUGUAGGGCUAUGGGCAUGGUGGUGUGGGAUUCCAUGAUGUGGAGAUAAGAGUGUGGGCAUGGUGAGGAUCUUACAAGUUGAUGGAAAAUGGUGAGAGAGGAAUGGAUGAUGAAUUGCAUGAAAAGUGGUUUGCAUAUGGUACAACAGUGGGAGAAAUGUGUAGGUGGGUAUGCGGUACAAAAAAAGGAAUGGGUAUAGCAAGCAUGAGGUGUGAUAGCUGGUGCAUGAUGACAAGAGUGAUGGUGAGCUUGAGGUGGGUUUGAUGCCGUGGAUGCAUGCAUGGGAGUGAUGGUAUGAGAUGUUGGAAGUGGGCAUGGGAAUGGUGGUCAAUGAGAAGGGUGAUCACACAAAUGAUGGAUACGAGUAUGGGGUAACAUGAUGAGCAAGCGGGCAUAGAGAAUAAAGAUGAAGGGCCCAAACCAUACUUCACCAGCUAUCUUAAGAUAAUCCAAAUCACCAGCACUAAGGGGUUGCCUUGAAGAGAGGAGUAAACUGUGAAUCUGAACUUGAUAUUUUGCCAUAAUCAACAGAGGGUCGUGCCAACAUGAGAGACCCAAAGACAGAACCAAUACCACUUCCAACAACACUGAAGACCUGAAUAACUUGAAGAUCGGUACAGUUAUUAGCCAGGUUUCUGAUGCAAUUUGAACAGAGGUUGAUAUUCUCUUUCCCAAUGAUAUAAUGGCCACAGGCAAAGUUAUUGAUAGCGUCCUCCUUGACACUGAUGAAUUGCUCUGAACGAAAAGGGUUGCCUGUGUGCUCCAAGCUCCACUUAAUUAGUUACAGUAGGCUCAAAGUAUGCUGGAUUGGCACGAAAGACAUGCUCCCUAGCAUCGGUUUCAUCUCAAUCUCUUUUGGAUGACCAUAAUAGGUACCAAAGAAGCCAUGGUUGCUCAACCUGGUUCGAAUCUUCCCAAAGACUCUAGUACCGAUUUCCCUUAGAAACGCCCAAUCUCAAACGGCCGAUCCAAACAAAACAACCAACACUCCAAAAGAAUACCAAAAACAGAGGAGAAAAUAUUGAAAGAAUGACACAAAAUAAAGCGAGGAAAGCAUAUUUUCAGAAGUUUCAUUUCAUGAAUCAUCCAUGAACCCUCUGAUUAGGUGAGAAAGACCCAUCUCCCAACACGACUACAAGCACUCAGCAUAACAGAGACUAUCAUACUCAAACCAGCAGUGGAUAAAAAUGAAUGCAAGAUUUAAUCUCAACAAACAACAAAGCCGCCUUCAUUAUCUACCCCAAAACAAACCAAAUGAGUAUCCAAAUAUCAAAAAAAAAAAUAUGUAGAAGAAUGACAAACGUACCUGAAAAUCUCUUUCUCAACCAAGUAUAUGGGGCUUCAAAUCCACUGCUCUGUUUCUAGCUUGCUCUUUAAGUCAAAACCUUCCUCUGUAACUUGUUUGCCUUCCCAGAGUUUGAACCUCUUUGCUUCCUCAAAACUCAAGAAGACCUCUCUUCUCAAAACAAUAUCCUCCUAAACGGUCAGAAAAAUUACCUUUUCUCUCCUCUCAGACUAACACUCUCUCCUCCCCCUCCCCCAAUGGAACCUCUCCUAUUCUCUCUCCUCUAUUUUUCCUCCAGUAGCAAAAACUUGAAUCUCAAGCAAGAAAAUCGUCUCUGAAUGUGAAUCUCUCCCCUCUCCAGCCAAACUUCGGGAAGGAAACCACACUCCUCACAGCAGAAAAAUGGCUAUCACCCUCACUCUCAGUAAGAAAACUCUCCCAAGAAAAAAGCUCUCUCCCCCUAGAAAAUCUCCUUUCGCAGCCCAGGCACUUCACCUUCUGAAACUUAGAACUCUCUGAAAAACCCCGCCUGGAACCCCCACUCUCUUGACCUCCAAGCCAAAGGAAAAUCCCCCUCACGGCUCUCUCAUCACUGCAAAAAUCCCGCACCUCCCUCCAGAAUAUCUUUUUUUUUUUUUUUUUUCUCCUCUAUAACAACUUUUCUUUUUCUCCCGGAUUUGCCCCUCCAACCCACUCUGCCGCAACAGCCCCCUUCCUCUACACCACCCCUCUGCUAAUAACAGAAGACGCUCCUCAAGACAACGGCCUGCAGAUCCUCAUGCCACCUGUCAACCUUCCAUUGGCAUCCUAAAAGCAUCAUCUGAUUCUGCACCAGCCUCUCAAGAGAAGACACGUGGUGGAGCAAGGCUCUUCCACGUGGCAAAAUGAGCAGCUGCCUGAAUGGCCCCAAAUGGGGGGUCUACAAUUGUGUAACUGGAAGUUAUACAUAAAUAGUUCAUAGUCUGAAGUUAUGCACAAAUUUACAUUAAAAAAAAAAGUUGAUAACCUGAAUCUAUGUAUAAAUUUGCAUAUUUUCUUGUUUUGACAAAAUAAUUAUAACUCAAAGUUAUGAAAAAAUAUUGGCUUUUAAUUUUUAUUUCGUAUUCACUUAUUUUUCACAAUAGAAAUUAUGGAAAACAAUUUUUAUUAACAAUUCUUUCAUAGCCAGAAACUAUGCAAACAAUUUCUAAUUCUCUUGUAUAACCAGAAGUUAUACAAAACAAAAUUGUCAAUGAACAACUAUGUACCUAGAAGAUAUAUAAUUUUUUUUAAAAUUUUGUUAUAUAACCAGAAGUUAUAUCAUAAUAUAAUUGUCAAUUGUUUAAUGUUAUUGUAACAUUACUUAAAUUUUAAUUAUUCAUAACCUGAAGCUAUGAAGAAAAAGUUAGUAAAUUAAUAAUUGUUAGAGCUUGUAUAGCAAGAAGUUAUAUGAAUAUAUAUAUAUAUAUAUAUAUUAUAUAACCAAAAGUUAUAUAAAUAUUAUUAUUCAUAAACCGAAGUUAUGAAAAUAAGAAAAUUAAUAUUCUUUGUGCUAAUAAAAUGUUAUGUCAAAGUUGGUAAUAUGUACUUUUUUAUAGUUAGAAGCUAUAGAGAACAAAAUUGUUAACUAACAAUUUUGUACAACUUUAUGAAAUUUAUAUGACCAAAACUUAUAAUGAAAUAUAUUAUAGCUUGAAGCUAUGAUAACAAGCAUAUAGAUAAUAUUUACAUAUUAUCAAAAGAUUAAUAUUUUGUAUAUCAAGUUAUACAAAUAGACAAUUGUUUGAUAGUUUUUAUAAAUUUCUAUUAUUAGAAGUAUACUGUCAUUAGUAGAAAAAUUUAUAUAUAGAUGUGGAAUUUUGAAUUGCAUGAAAGUAUGAUAUUUUUGUAUUAUAGGUGAUAGUUUGGAAUAUUUUUUUUAUUCUAGUUAUUUAAUAUACAAUAAUAUUUUGAUUUAGAAAUUUGAGAUUUUUUGGGUACAUGUGAAAUAUAUGACUUGGUCAUAUGAUUAAUAAAUUGAUUUCGCAUGUCUUAUUUGUUUAUAACAUGUUUUUAUGAUUGAAAAUUUUUGAGUUGUAUAAAAUAAUAUAUAUUAUUGCAUGUUGUCACAUAUGAUAUUUUUAUUAAUGCAUUAAUUUCAUUAUUCAAGAAUAUCUUUUCAGAAACAAUACAUUCAACUAUUAUUUUUAAUAUAUUAUGUUAUAUCUUUACAUACAUAUUUAUAUAGAUUUGUAAUGUUUCGAUUUAAGUUUUGAAACAAUAAGAUGCUUUAAAUCAUGAUAUGUUCUUUUGAAAUUUUGAUUUAUGAAUUAAUUUCUGCACAUUGAUUUAUAUCGUAAUAAUAUUUUGAAUAAAAAUUAUUGAUCUAUCACUACAAUUAGUUUGAUUAUUGAAAGACUUCCUAGUUAUUUCAUAUAUAAAUUGUUCCACACUUAUAAAAUCAAAUGUGUGAGAUAUUUAAGAAACAAAUAACUUUAAAUUAUCUUUUUCAUAUUUGUUUUGUUGUGUUAUAUAUGCUUUCAUUGUUUUUACACAACUUAUUAAGGUAAGUCAUCAUCGAUGACUAGUAUAUUUCCAUUUGAUUUUAACUCUUUUUCUAUGAUAAUAUUUCUUCAACUCUAUAAAGGUGAGGUCUUUAUGACAUGUUUUAUGACUUGUUAUUUUGAUGAAACUCUUGUCUCAUUAAUUGCACAACAUUGAUGACAGACAAUGUUAAUACUAUAUCAGGUGAUAGAAACCUAAUUAAAGGCUCCAGAAUAACUUAUACUAUGUCAUUAGUAGUAUUUGAUUCUAUGUGAAUGACACUUUAUACGAUGCUAGAUCCAGAAGAAUCUUGUAAGACCAACUUAGUUCCCCAUGGUAAAAGGUCGUAUGGAUGUACAUUAUAAAACCAGAAGUUUUUAUUUUGUAACUAGUCUAUCUAUACACUUGAAAGAUAGAAUGACACGUUGUGCAAAUUAUCAUUUUAAUUAGACAAUUUUCUCGCCGUUAGGGGUAGAAGAGUCAAUUCCAGAAGAACAGCGUGAAAUUAUUUGGAAUGCAUUGACUUUGACUUAUCUUGAUCCUCGUACUAAUCAAUGUGAAGUGGAAGUUCAAAAGAUUAUUUAUUUGCAAGAACUUGUAAAUCAACUACUAAAUGUUUUCAUUGAUGCAAAGAAAGUGACGAUCAUUUUCACUUACCUAGAACAUUCCAGUACGAAUUAAUGUCCCUGAAUGACAAUUAAAUAAUGCGUUGAUGUCCCUGAAUGACGAUUAAAUAAUGAGUUGAUGUCCCUGAAAGACAAUUAAAUAAUGAGUCUAAUGCACACUUGUAGACCCCCUUUUAGGUCAUUCCUACCUUGCAGCUCAAUUUUACCACGUGGAAGAGCCUUGGUCAGCCACGUGUCAGCACCUGAGAAGCCAUGAGAGAAUCAUAAUAGUGGUUUGGGGAGCCAAUCAGGAGGUGACGCGUACAUGGGAAUAUACUGGCCGUUAGAGGAGCAGAUGCUGGCAGCUGGAGGUGAGGUGCUUUUGGAGAGGUUGCCAGCUGCAGGAAGGGGGUGUCGUCUGGCAGCUAGAGGAGCUCUCUGAGCAGGCCGUUAGAGAUUUUUUUUAGGUGAGAGAGGGAAGCUAAGAAGAGGAAAAAAAAAGUCAGAGGAGAAAGGGGUGAGAGUUUGAGGAGAGUUUGAGAGAGAAAAGAGAACCUGAGGGAAAACGAGACAAGAAGGCUGGUGAUAGGGAAGCUGACAGCUGCGGGAAGGUGGUCCGGGCUGCCGUUGGGUGAUUUUUCGAAGGAACGUUUGAGGCUGGAAUAGAACAUCGGCACUCUCAGGUAUGAAAGCAAAAGGUUUAUUGUUAGUUUUUUAUUCUUAUUGAUCCUCCAUAGUUGCUGUUGAUAUUUUGAAUGUUGUUUAGUUUGUUGGGAUGAAAUCUUGCUUUCACGGUUGUCAUUGCUGAUUUUGGUAUACUCUGCUUCUAUUAUGAAUGUGCCUCAAUGUUGUGUUUAAAAUGGAUUUUCUCACCUAAUCAAAGGGUUCAUGGAUGGCUCAUGAAAUGAAACCUCUGAAAACCUUUACUCGUUUUCUUUUUGUGUUUUUUUUUGUUUUGUUUUUUUUAUUUCAAUGGGUCCUUCUUUUGUUGUGGCCAAUAUUCUGCUUCUGGGUCUCGUUUAAUGCCAUGGCUGUGAGAAGAGGUUAUUUUGGGUUAAAGAAGCAAACAAGUUGCAUGAGGCUACUUUUGGCUGUUAGAGGGGAAUAUUUUUGAGGGAGUAUUCUUUCUGGGAAAGGGAAAAACGAGUUGUUGAAGCAGCUCCACACCAGAAAAAGGUGAAGGGAAUAGAGACGGAGCCCUUGCAGAAAGAGUGAACCCAUCUUUGAACUCUAUUCAGCUCACGUUUUGACCCAAAAUCUAUUCAAUAUCACUGAAGACAACGUGGGAAAUCUCUGUAUGUCACUCGAAACUGAACAGUAGAAGAAUUUGUGGGACGAUAUUGAGGAAGUAGAAAGGCUUGAAUGUAUUAAAAUUCUCAGAGGUGUACUAUGCACCAGGGCCUGUCUUGAGGGGAUAGUUUCUUGGCUAGUUUCAUGCUGGUAUUGGGAAAAGUAUUGGGGUGCUGCUCAUGACUUGAGUGAGGGAGAGAGAUCUACAAAGAGGGAAGUUGCUGGUUUUGACGACAUUAGAGGAGGAUUCAGGGCAUUUAAAACAGAGGAGGUUUCUGGAAAGAACAAGGAGGGCAUUGUGAGGGAUUCUGGCAGAGAGCGAGAGGGGAGGAUUCUGUUAGCUAGGGGACAGUUUCUUUGCCUGAGGGCAAGUUGUAGGGAAAAGGGGGAGAGGAAGAAAAGGAAAACGGGUGGCAGCUGAGAGGAUUUGUGAGGAGAAUAGGAUGCACAGUUGAAUGACAUGCAGCCAUGGAACUCCGUGCCUUUGAUUUUGGUGUGCCUUAAUGGAGGAAUUAUUUUUUUAAUGAGAGAACUCACAUGUGGCAGUUCAAUGGCUGAAAUUCUUCAAAAAAAAAAAAAAAAGUCAAUGAGUUAAAGUGGUUAUACAUGGAGAAAUUAAUGGUUGAAAUUCAAACGGGUGUACGUGGUGGGUUUUUGGAAAUUCAAUGAUGAAUAUUCAAGGCAUUUGAUAGUGCACAUCAACUAGCGAGUCGGCAAUCCGGAUGCACAGUUUUUGGUUUGUUUUUAUUAAUUUCACUUGCUUUUCAUAUUUUAAUUUUUCUUUUAAUAGAAAAUUGUUCGAGUGACUUUGGUUUGCUUUUAAAGAUCGAUUUUAAAUUCUACUUUAAUGUUUAAUUCUUUAACUUCUUUUAAUUCAUCCUUAGCAUUCCUAAUUUACUAAAAUCCAAUCUUAAUAAUCAUCCUUAGCAUUCCUAAUUUACUAAAAUCCAAUCUUAAUAAAUCAUUUGUUAUCGUAUUUCUUUUCCACUUAUGCAUGAAUUGCAUGGCCACCUUUUAGGCCACGUGUCACCUACUGUUUCAACAUCUUCGACUAAAACCCUCUUUUGUAAAUAAUUUUUAAAUUCUGUUUUUUUUUUUAAAUAAUCCUAAAAUCUAGGUUUUUUUUUUAAAAAAUUUCAAAUAACUUCAAUUUUUUUUUGAAUUUCAUCAUUAGAGUUUUUAGGUCCCGAAAAUCCGUUUUCCAAUAAAAUUCGUUGCCAUUUUUCUUCGGCAUACAUUUUUCGUUACUUCCAUGCUUUUAAAAUAUUUUAAAACAAGCAUAGAUUCAAUUCCGUAAUUCCGAAUAACAGGGUUUAUGGAAUUAAUUCAUGCAAAAUAAACGGGCUUUGGUGGGGGCCCCACAUAUGUGAUUUAUGAUCGAUUAACUGAUUGAUUGAUUUAAUUGUCAUGCAUGAUUGAUUUAUUCUGCUCUAUGACAUGCUCGAAAUUAUUUCUUAACUAUGCACUAACCCUCCUCUUGAUAGCGCAUAUUGGUUCGCCACCCAGGUAUGUAUUUUCCUGCAUCAUGGUCACUCCUUAUGCUUGUUUCUAAUUCUCAUAUGUGCAUGAUCGAUUUGGGUCUUCAUUGAUUUUCUCAUUGGUUGCCAUGUCAACUUCAUUUUAUUAGUAGAGACCCGACUUUAGGGACUUAGAGGAGUGCUACGGUCUUUACCGUACCUUCCCGAUAAGUAACCUGACCCCCGAACCCGAUUCGGUUUUUUGUAGAUCACCUUUUCCAAAUAAGGAGUCACACUUAGGGUUUUUCUUUCUUAUUUUGUUUACCCUUUUGAAAAUAAAACAAAAAUAAGUGGCGACUCCAAGUCAUUUUCUUAAUCAAUAAAAAUCAAUUUUUCAAAAUAAAAAUCGAGCUCGCCAUUCGAGUGGGAAACGCAUUGAGUCGAAAUGCGGGGUCCACAACACUUGAAGCGUGGUAAACCCUGAAAAGGCAAACAAAUUCCUUUAAAAGAAAAACACAAGGAAAGAUAUAUGAAAUGUGACACUCUUGAAGAAGUCGCAUAUAAAAUGAGUUAUUAAAAUGAUUGAUCAAUCUCAAGCAGCCCCUAAAGAGGCACAGUUUAAACAAGUAGCCUUAUGAUAGGUAUAUGUUUAAUAAUUAGUUCCUGAAAAUGUACAAGUACCUGAUAUUGAUGAGAUCUCAAUUAUUUACUUAUAUAUGAAAAAAAAAUGGGAUUGAAAUACUCUUGUCAUUAACAAUAUAUUUUCUUUCCAAAUAGCUGUUGACAUCAUAAGAAUUGAUGAGGAUCCCAAAGUAGAAACUAUGAAUGAAUGUCAACAUAGAAAAGAUUGGCCAAAAUGGAAAGAAUACAUCCCAAAAAAAUUAUACUCAUUAGAAAAAUGAGAAGUAUUUGAACCUGUAGUCCAAACGCCUGAAGUUGUCAAACUUAUUGAAUAUAAAUGAGUAUUUAUAAGAAAGUGUAAUGAGAAAAAUGAAAUCACGAUAUAUAAAAUGUGACUCAUAGCUCAAGGUUUUCCGCAGAAACCUAGUAUUAACUAUGAGGAAACAUAUUCUCCUAUGAUGGACGCAACCAUAUUUAGAUAUCUAAUUUGUUUAACAGUCUUAGAAUGACUAGAUUUGCGUUUCAUGAAUGUCAUUAUUGCAUAUUUACGUGAAUCUUUAGAUAAUCACACACACACACACACACACACACACACACACACACACACAUACAUAUAUAUAUAUAUAUAUAUAUAUAUAUAUAUACGAAAAUCCUUGAAGGAUUUCAAAUACUUGAAGCAACUAAUUCAAAAUAUUGUAGCAUAUACUCAAUUAAGUUACAAAGAUCCUUGUAUCAAUUAAGCAAUCUAAAAACAUGUGAUACGAUCACUUCAAUGAAUAUUUGAAGCGAGAAGUAUGUAUGUAUUACCUUAUUUAUUUAUACAUAUUCAUUAUAUUGAAUUUUUGCAAUUAUUAUAGUAUAUGUGGAACAUUGAAUUUUUUUGGAACUCCUGAAGAGCUUACAAAAAUAGUUGACUAUUUAAAAAUUAAAUUUUGAAAUGAAAGAUCCUGGAAAACAAUUUUUUUUUCCUCGACCUGCAGAUCGAGUAUUUUUCAAACGAAAUAUUAGUUUAUUAGUCAACAUAUACAAAGAAAUUCUUGAAGCACUUUCAUAUGGAUAAAUCACAUCCAUUAAGUUCUCUGAUGAUAGUUCAUUCACUUGAAGUGAAAAAUGACCCUUUUUGUCCUAAAGAAGAUAAUAAAAAACUAUUUGGUCCAAAAAUACCAUAUUACAGUGUUAUUGGUGCAUCGAUGAAUCUUGCAAAUUAUACAUGACCAGAUAUUGCAUUCCUUGUUAAUUUACUUGUGAGAUAUAGUUCUACACCAAUUCAAAGACAUUGGAAUAAAAACAAGCAUGUACUACAAUAACAUGGGUCUAUGUUAUUCCAAAUGAUCAGAAUCUUAAGUGCUUGAAUAUGUAGAUGUUGACUAUCUUUCACACCCCCACAAAGCUCGAUCUUAAAUGAGGUAUGUAUUUAUCUAUGGUGGUACGACAAUAUCAUGGAGAUCAAUCAUGCAAAUAAUGGAAACAUGUGGACUACCCUCCAUCAAAGGUAAUGCUACCAAGUUAAUAAUGCUGCAUGUAUUGCACAAAUUAAAGAAUGAUACAUUAAGGGUGAUAGAAUUAAGCACAUAUCGUCCAAGUCUUUUACUUUCAUUAACUCAAGAAUAGUGAUGAAAUUGCUAUUCGACGAAUAAAAUCAAGUGGCAAUUUAGUAUAUCUAUUCACAAAGGCAUUGUCAAUUACAAUACUCAAGAAGCUCAUUGGAAUACGCCGACUCAAAGAUCUCCAUGUUGUACUACUAGAGAAAAUAUAAUCAUGUCAACAUGAGGGGGAGCUAAUUGAUAAAAAUAUCACUACGCUACACUCUUUUUUCCUUCAUCCAAGUUUUGUCUCAUUGGGUUUUACUGGCAAGGUUUUUAAUAAGACAAUUGUGGUAAUCCAAAAAAAUAUUGUACUCUUUUUCUUUCACUAGGGUUUUUCCUAGUAAGGUUUUAAUGAGACAUAUUCUUAUGAUCAUACAAGGAGGAGUAUUAUAAAAUAUGAGAUUUUGUAUCACUAUGGUAACUUGUGGAUGAUCAUUCAUAUUAAUAUACAUCUCUUUGUAACUCCCUAUAAAAGGGAGAUACCUCUAAUGAAAAUUAAUCUGGUUCUCUUCCAACAUUUUGUUAUACUUUUCUUUGAAUAUCUUUGUUUAUUCUCUCAUAUUUUCUUUUUCUUCUUCUUUUUAUUUCACAACUGUGGACCCGCAUUUUUCACGUGCGCCCCCACUUGAUCGACGAGACUCGCUUUUUAUUGUGAAAAAUUAAUUUUAAAAAAAAGUUGGAGUCGCCACUUAUUUUAUUUUUUAUUUUUGAAGGGAAAAUAAAACAAGAAAUAAAACCCUAAAAAAAAUGACUCCAUAAUUUUUGGAAAAGCGUGUCUUUGAAAACCCAAGUCUUGGUCCGGGGAUCAGGUUACUUAUUGGGAAGGUACCUCUAGGAGGUAGCACCCCUCUAAGCCCUAAAGAGGUCUCUACUAACUAAGUUAAGGGAAGCGUGGCAAUUAAAUGGUUGACCUCGGGUACCUAAGUAGGCUAGGUGAUUCCAAAAAAAACAUAACAUAUCAAACAAAAUCAAAUCACAAUUAAGGAGAGUUAAAAAUGCGUACCUGGACAGCCUCCCAAGCGCUAUCAUAAAACAUAAGAGAUUAGUUUGGAGAUACAUCACACAACAUUGUUUUAUCAAAGAUAAUCAAACAAUCAUCAAAUGUAUAUCAAGGCAAUUAAAGAGGAUAGCAAGCAUGGGCAUACAUAUUCAUAGGGUUUAGAAAGUGGGUAUUAGGGAACGUACCUGGAUAGCAUAUUUAAUUCCUAAUGCGCUUCCACAAAACAUGAGAGGUUAGAUAACAAACAAUAAAAUAAGAAGUCCUAGCAUGCUCGUUAUCUAAUUAUCAUAGCAUAAAUUGUCAAAAUAUAUGAAAACAAUAAUUAUCACACUCAUCUUGUAUACAAUUUCUAAAAAAAAGAUAGAUAUAAUUUCAAAAAGUGACAAAAAUGGCAACAAAAAUAAUUUUUGAAAAGAUUUUCUUAUGUAGGGGUUUCACCAAUUCCCCAAAUUAAUAUACACAAAUUUAGCCCAGAAUUAUCCCAUUAUUUGGGACCACAAGCUUUGAUUCGUGUUUUUGUUCAAAACCAAACUUUUUGUUAGAAACUGAGAAGGAUGCAAACCGAACAAAAAAAUGGUUGCAUAUUAUUUUAAGAAAAUGAGAUUUUUUUUAUUCCAAGGACUCUAAAUGAAUUUUUUUUUUAAAAUAGGUUUUUAAAGGGAUCUUUUAAGGAAAGUGUUGGAUUUCAAAAUAAAAAGAAAUUAAUUUGAAAAUGACAAGACAUAAGGAACAAAAUACCAAGCAAAACAAAAGUGAUUAAAAUCGCAAAGUAGAGUUUUUGACAACUGAGAAAAUUGAAGUGGUGAGAAUGGAGGUCAAUCUUCCCUAUUUUCCGAUGGCCUCCGAAAAGUAAAUUUUACUAGAGAUUACCAAAGCAAUAAACUACUCAAACUCAGGUCAAAUAAGCUAACGAGAUACCCACCAAGAAUUAAUGACGAAUAUUUAAGAAACACAUCCAUUAAGAAUAAAAAUCAAGAAUUAGCAUGAGAUCAAUUAACCACACAAACACAUCUAGAUUUAUUAAAAUGAGACAAAUUAAAUCAAAGCAAACAAUAAUUUUCAAACAUAGAAUUAACUUUAUUAAUGAAGUAAUUUUAUAUAAAAUACUUAAAUCGAAUAGAUGAGUGAAACUAAAUCAGGGUAAACUAAAGGCAUGAAUUUUCAAAUAUAGAAUUGAUUUUAUUAAUGACCUAAAAUUUUACAAACUCCUAAAAUACUUAAAAUGAAUCAAUUUAAACAAAAGGAAACUAAAACAAAAUAUGGAUUUAGGGAAUCUAAUUUCAAAAUAAACUUACAUUAUUAAAAUGAAACCUAGGCUUAAAAUGAAUUAAACACUAAUUAAAGUCAAUCUAAACUUAAAUUCUUAACAUACAUGAUCAAUUAUUUUAACAAAUUAAAAUUUUACAAGAGCACCUAAACCUAAAGUUAUAUAAAAACACUAACAAGAACAGAUUUUUAAAAUUAAAUCUCUAACCUAUAAAAAUUAGUUUUAUUAAUAAAUAAAUGAAAUAGGUAAUGCAUGACUAAAUAAGUAUAGCUAAAACAAAAUACGGACUCAUGGAAUUAAUUUUUUUUUUUUUUUUGUGUAUAAACUUACAUUACUGGAAUAAAAUUUGAGCUUAACAAAUGUUUUUAACACUAAUUAAGGUAAGUUUAAAAUCUAAUAUUUAACAUAUAAAAAUCAAUCAUUUCAACAAACUAAAAUUUUACUUAAACCUAAAACCAAUUCAACCGACCUACAACAAUUUUUUUUUUUUUAAACUGAAUUUUUAGCCCAUAGGAUCAAUCUUAUUAAUAAAUAAAUAAAUUACAAAGAAUUAAAUUAAUAGCAAAUAAAUAAAUAAAUAAUCAAUAAUUAAAUGAAUCAAAACUAAAUUAAAUAAAGAUCAACUAUAUAUUUUUUUUCAAGUAAAGCUACAUAAAAUUGUAUUUUAUGAAUUGAAUAUAAUACAUCAAAACUAACCUUAAACAACACUAAUCUUUAAUGUAAUAAAUCAAAAAAUUAAACAAAAAGUGAGAUUGUGCUCCCAUAUUAAAACGAAUACAUGCUGGAGCCAAUAAAACAAAUCAACCCACUCAACCCAAUAUAAUAAUCCAACUUUAAAUAGUACAUCACAAGACAUCAAAGUUCCACCCAAUGUAAUAAAUAAAUAAAAAAUUAAACCAAAAGUGAGAUUUUGCUGCCAUAUGAAUACAUGUUGGAGCCAAUAAAACAAAUCAACCCACUCAACCCAAUAUAAUAAUCCAACUUUAAAAAGUACAUCACAAGACAUCAAAGUUCCACUAAAAACUCAUAAAAAAAUAACUAACUUACCUAGUUGGCUUACCAAAAAAAACCUGGUGGCAUGUAGUUGCUUUCUCUUCCCUAAUGAUGCUCGGGAACAAUGGUAUUGGUUGAUGGGAACUGAUGAGUUUUGGUUCUUCAGCCAAUACUCUUAUUUCAAAUCAACAAAGCUCGUCUCAAGGAACGGUAAGUAUAAAUUUAAGAACCCCGCAACUGGUUUUCAAUUAUUUUGAUAGCCAAUAAAAAAUGGAUAAUGUGUUCCAGAAGUUGGACGAACAUGAGGACGUAUGGCAGGAGAAUGGAGAAAAGCAAAUGUGCGGCCUGGUUGUGUAGUUGACGAUGAUGGGAAUUGGAGGAUUCUCUGUUUUUAAGGAUAUGUGGAUGGAUGGACUGCUGUCCAGAUGGUUCUCGAUUUUCAACCAAAGGAAGAUUCAGAAGACUCAUGCGACAGGAAAAUUCAGAUGACGCAAACACCAACUUCGGCCUGGCUACGUCAACUUCAGCAGCGGGGUUGACCAAAACGAUCUGGGUGUUCAGGAUCUAACCAUUGGUGAGUUCAAAUGUUGUCUCCCUUCUUUCCCUUCCAAAUCUUCCCGUUCCCUCUCCUCUAUACCUUCCCAAUCGCGGGGUGAAUAGCCGAUGAAUCACCAAACAGUUGCGUAUGUGGGUUUCCCCAAAACAACUUAUCUCUGCUCUAAAAAAAAAAACCUCCCUCUCUCGUGUGUCUUCCUUCCUUUUCUUUUCUUUUCCUUCUUCUUCCUCUUUUCUCAAUCUCUCCGACUCCUCUCUAGCCACCAGUGAUCGAAGGCACCGUAGCCAAGGUUUUCCUCUUUUCUGAUCAUUUUUUUUUCUCUUCUUGAAUGCAAAAAAAUAUUUUCUUUCUUUCCUGGUGCAGCUGCCACUUCCCUCUAGAGAAUCAUUUCCUUCUCAAUGGUCCCGUUGACUCUACCAAUAUGGAAAAAAUCCCUCACCGGUCUAGAGAAAACCCGUAAUCUUCCGCAUCAGUCCAACAUGAUUAGAACCCUACAUUUUGAACCUAGCCUUCAUUUCCAUCCCUAUACACACCGAACAUCUUCUUUUCACCUGCCAAAAUCAGCUUUGGUAAGUUUCUAAACCUUCCCAUCUCUCUCUUUCUUCCCUUUUUCAUAUCUGUCUUGGGUUGAAUGCUCUUUCAAAUCACGGUCGAAUCUCCCUUCCAUAGAACCCUGCAAUAAAAAUAGUAAAAACAAAAUCAUCCAAUUAAAUAGUAAUAAUAAUAAUAAUAAUAAUAAUAAUAAUAAUAAAUAAAUAAAUAAAUAAAUAAUAAUAAUAAUAAAGAUGAUUAAUCAUAUACAUGUACAAGAUAACCAAAAUAUUAUUUCAUGAUAAAGAAACAUAACGUUAGUAUCUUAUAAUCUCCUAAAAAUAAAUAAAUACAAGAACAAAUAAACUAAAACCCACUUAAAACAAAAAUCAAACAAAUAGAAUUCCAGAAGACAAACCUUAGUGUACUAAGCUUAAAGAACUACCCAAGGGAUUCUAAGUGGGCCUAAAGUGGUGCUUAAUGGACCUAGCCUUCCUAAGUGGGCCUAAGUGGGCUUAGAGUGGGCCUAAGUGUAUCUAAGUGAACCUAGGAUGCCUAAGUGAGCUUAAAGUGGUGCCUAAUGGGUUAGGCAUGUCUAAUGGGCCUAAGGUGUACUAAGUGAACCUAAGGUGCCUAAAUGGGCCUAAGGUGACUAAGUGGGCCUGAAGUGUCUAAAUGGGCCUAAAGUAAUCUAAUGGGCCAAGUGUACCUAAAUGGGCCUAGGGUUACCUAAUGGGCCAAGUGUGGUGCCUAAGUGGGCCUAAAGUGCCUAAGUCUAAAUUAGAGCUGCCAAAGGUCACAAUAAGAUGUCAAAUCAUCCCCCAACCAAAGUCUCCAAGGUGGCUUAGAAAAGAUAGGCUACACGAAUAUUAACGGGCCACCAGGGAAUUGUUAUAAACGACAUGUGCGAGGAAGACAAAAUUGAGGGUCUACAACAACAUAUAUAUAUAUAUAUAUAUAUAUAUAUAUAUAUCAAACUAUAAUUAUAUAAUUUUUUUUAAAUGUAUAAAUCCAUUUUAUUUUUUUAUUAGCUUAAAAUUUUUAUUUUUAAAUAUAGAAAUGUAUUUUUGUUAAAAAAUUAUAUUUCAUAUUUUUGUUCCAUUAUUACUUUUAUUCUUUCUUUUUUGUUUGAUUUUUGCAUGUUAUGUUGUCCAUUUUUCGUUUUUAUUUUUUUCAUUUUUUUAUUUGGAAAAAAAUAAAUAAAAUAUAAUUAAUAGUGACAAAUGAAAAGAGAAAAAAGAAGAAAUGUUGAAAAAUAAAAAUAAAAUUGGUCAUUUUCGUGCAUUUUAUUUUAUUUGUGUGUUUCGAUUAUUCUCCUUUUUAAACAAUUGCAUAAAAGAAAAAAAAAUGAAAAUGAUUGUAGGUGAUUUUCAAAAUAGAGGUGAUUUUCUUGAGGAAAGAAUUCGAAAGUUGAUGUAUAAUGUUGAAGAAGAGCCUUCGUUGUAGGUGGGACGAGAGAGGAAACAACUUUGAAUUUUGAAACUUUACCAUCUAAAAUCAAAACAAAAUCAAUUGCAAUUUACGCAAUUUUGUAGGAAAUUAUUAUUAUUAUUAUAAUGGUAUAACAAGUUUAAUAUAAAAAAAAUAAAAAAUUUGUAGUAUAAAAAUAUUAUAAUAAAAUAAAUAAAUUUAUUUUCAAAAAUAUGAAAAUUAAUAUAAAAAUAUUAGGGAAAAAUUAUGUGUACACAUAAAAAAAUAAAAUAUAAAAUUGAUGGAUUAAAUUAUUAUUGAAAUUAUAAUCCGACUUAAAGUCAAAUUAGAAGAAUUUUAUGAAAUGUCAUAUCAAAACUAAAAUACUAAAAAAUGUGUAGAAUCAAAAGAAAAUUAUACUUUUGUUUGUGAAAUUAUGACUAUAAAGAAUAACUCAAUUCAUUUUCAACUCCAGUAAAAAUUUUGAUAAGUUGUGUAUAUGCAUGUCUUGUUUAAAUCUCAAUAUCUAUAAAAUCUAGUGAAUAAUAGUGUGGACCCCGUAUUUCGCACGAUGUGUUUCCACUCGAUGGCGUGACUCACUUUUUGUUUAUUUGUGAAAAAUUAUGAUUUUUAGAAAAGACUUGGAGUCACCACUUAUUUUUGUUUUAGUUUUUUAAGGGAAAACAAAGUAAGAAAAAAAAACCCUAAGUGUGACUUCUCAUUUGGAAAAAAUGGUCUAUGAAAAACCAAAUCUAGGUUCGAGGGGUUAUGUUACUUAUUGGGAAGGUAGGGUAAAGACCGUAGCACCCCUUUAAGUCCCUAAAAAUGAGUCUCUACUAAAUAAGGUGAGUCAAACAUGACAAUUAACUAGGAGAUCAAUGAAUACCAAAAUGAUUAUAGGUCAAAAGCAAGUUAUGAUAAUGAAUAAAUAAAAAAAGUGAGAGUGAGAGCGUACCUUGGCAGUAGGUAAUAAAGCGCUAUCAUGGAAACAAGGUUAGCUCAAGUAUAAAAUUAUUACGCGCAUAUCAAAAAUCAAGACAAAAAUCAAGCAAUAUUCGUUAAGCAUAACAUUUGACAAUCAGAAGAGAAAACUCAUAUGUGGGGUCCUCACCAAAGCCCAAUUUAUCUUGCACGAAUUAGUAUCACAAAUUCCAUUAUUUUGGAAUUAUAAAAAAUUCAUUCUUGCUUAUUUAAAAUAAAGAUAAACAAAAAAUUAUUUGAAAAUCGAAGAAAAUUUGUACAAGUGCAUACCAAAAUGAGAAUGGUAGCAGACUCAUUAAAAUCAGGAUUUUUGGCAACCUAAAACCCUAAUAAAUGAUUAAAAGUUGUAGAUAAAAAAUAUUUGAAAAUUGGAGUGGGAUUAAAACUGUUUGAGAGAAAACUAGAGUUUUGAAAUUUAUUUGAAAAUUGAAGUCUCGAAAAUUAUUUGAGAAUUGGAGUUUUGAAAAUUAAAUUUAAGAAUUGGAAUUUUAGAAAUUAAAUUUGAAAGAAAUUGGAAUUUUGAAAAUUAUUUGAGACUUGGAGUUUUGAAAAUUAAAUUUAAGAAUUGGAAUUUUGGAAAUUAAAUUUUGAAAUAAAUUGGAAUUUUGAAAAUUAUUUGAGAAUUGGAGUUUUGAAAAUUAAAUUUAGGAAUUGGAGUUUUGAAAAUUAAUUGAGAAUUGGAGUUUUGAAAAUUAGUUUUAAGAAUUGGAAUUUUGGGAAUUAAAUUUGAAAGAAAUUGGAAUUUUGAAAAUUAAAUUUAAGAAUUUGAAUUAAAUUUGAAAGAAAUUGAAAUUUUGAAAAUUAUUUGAGAAUUGAAGUUUUUAAAAUUAAAUUUAGGAAUUGGAGUUUUGGAAAUUAAAUUUAAAAGAAAUUGGAAUUUUGAAAAUUGAUUGAGAAUUGGAGUUUUGAAAAUUAGUUUUAAGAAUUGGAAUUUUGAAAAUUAAAUUUGAAAGAAAUUAAAAUUUUGAAAAUGGAAGUUUUAAAAAUUAAAUUUGAGAAUUGGAAUUUCAAAAAAUUAUUUGAAAAUAGAAAUUUGAAAAUUACAUUUAAUAAUUGGAAUUUUGAAAAAUUAUUUGAAAACAAAAGUUUUGAAAAUCGGAAUUUCGAAAAAUUAUUUGAGAAUGGAAUUCUUAAAAGAUCAAAUUUUUAACAUAAAAUGAUGGAUUAGGAGGGUGACACGUCAAACAUUGGAUAGCAGCCCUCUAGAGUGGAAUCCCAAGGUUCUCCUAAAAAAAUACCUCAAUGUCUAAAUGGCUAUAAGCAUCUGUCCAAAAAAAAAAAAAAAACAAUAGUAGAUUUUCCAUUUGUUCCGGUCACUACUAAUAUCUUAAUACUUCUUGGAAGAAUUUCCGUAGCAAAAUCCAACUUAGACAAUAUUCUUUUCACUGAUUGCAACAAGAAGGAAAGUCCAUGACUUUCCAAGGGAACUCCUAGUGAAACAACUACCAUUUCGGCAUCCUUGAGAAGCUUUGUGUCAAAGUGUCCAAGAACGGUUUUCAAAUGACCAUGCUUUUCAAACAGGAGAUCGAGCUCAAGCGAGAGCAAGCUUUGUUGCAGCUCUACCAGAUUUUCCCAACAAGAAAACAGGAAACUCUCAACCAAACCCAAAUUCACGAAAGAGAAUCAAACCAUAUGGGAAACAUCUGGAUCGGCGCGGUAGCUACAGUUUUGUAACAAAUCUCACUUGGGGUCUAGAGAUUCAUGUUACCUCAAGCUUUUUCUUGUCAGCCUCAUCAUCCCAUGGUUUCACAUCCCAGUGUACAGUCCCAUACCCAAGAAUGCAUAAACACCAGGAACAGGGAGAAAACAACAAAAACAUAGCACAAAUGAAGAAAAUAAUAUGAACCAUCAAAAGCCACACUUCAUGUCUUAGUCAGUGGAUGAAAAGGAUUUCUAAAUAUCACAAAAGAGAUAAAAAUUAGUUGGACCAAUUUUUGAACACAAAUUGGAGCAACAAAGAAGCCGUUAACUAUGAAAAAAAAAAUUCAUGAAUCACCCAAAGAUCAACAACAACAUAUCUCAAUAAUAGUGGAUGAAAGAAAAAAUUUUCACAAUGGAGAACUUACUUCAGGGAAGACGUUGGAGGUCUUUCUUCUAUAGAGCCCAAUAACCCGUGAGCUUCUUCUCUACUUCUCUCAACUCACCAUUUCACUCAUAGAAAAACGAUUCAUUAUGACCCCCCUCAAAUCUCAGCUUAUCUUUUUUCUUUUUGUUCCUUUUAAAAUCCCUCAGCUGCCACAAAAACCCAGCACCCACUUUCCAGAUUUUUCUCCCAGAAAAUCCUCUUCAGCUGCUGCCCCUUUUUCUCUCUCCUCUCAUCAUAGUUUUCUUCAUUUUUUCCUCCGAUCCCCUUAUCUUUUUAGUUUUCUACCCCCCCUCCCCAGUUCACCCUCCAAACCUGCAGCUACCCCUCAGACUACUCCCAUAUUUUUUUCUUUCAAGCUCUCAAAACCCUCACAACGCACCCGACUCUCCUUCAAUCCCCUUGCUCAGUUUUUCAUUUUUUUCAAGCUGUCACCUCCUUCGGUCCAGCUCUCCCUCUCCAAGCUUCAAUUUUUCUCCCAAAAAAAACCCGUUCUCUCCUAAUUUCAUCCUCUGCUCAAGACAGCUCACCCAUGUUCUAUUUUUCUUUCACUUCUAGUCUCAUCCUCCAUCUGUUCCAUUGUUCUUGGUUCAGUGAAGACGUCACCACUCUCAACCACCACCAUGGCGAGUUGGUGACAUCCUUUUCCAUGCGUCUCAAUCAUGCAGCUUGUCCACCUCAUGGAGAGGUCAUCCCCCACUUUUCCAAAAAAAAAAAUCUAGCUCACUCCCGAGUACCCAAUGAGGGGUCUACAAAUAGUUACAUCAAAAUGAUCAAUUCAAAAGAAUUUAAGUCUGUAUUAAAAGAGCAAAAAGAUUUAUCGUUGAAAGAAAUAUUUGAAAACACUCUGUUGCCAGUUCGAAUUACUAGCUCCAUAGGAUUGCAACCCACCAACUAUGUUAUCUGAGAUGCUUGCCAAUCUACAUGAUCACUUCCCAUUGGCAUCUUUCAUAAGGCCAUCAAGAGUGGAUAUUUUGUAAUAUACACGUGGAUACAUUUUGGGAUGUAGUUUGAUAUUUUAUAUUAUUUUGUAUUUUUGGUGUAUUGACAUUUUCAUAUUAAUGUUGGGAGGUUGGAUUAACACUUAAAAUUUUUAAAUACAUUUUUACCUAUGUUAUUCAUCAUGGAUGAAAUAAGUAUUUUUGAAAUUUUAAUUUUUAAGAUUUUACUUUAUUCCACUAAUUUAUUUUUAUCAUUUUAAUCAAUUCUAUCUUCAUAAAAAAAAAUUAUAAAUAAGCUUUAUAAGAAUUCAUUUUUAUUAUCAAAUAAUUAUUUUGUUUUCUUAACAAAAUAAAUAUUUUAUAAUUUUGAAAUAAAAUAAUAAAUACUAUGUAACAUUAUCAAACGAGUUUUUUUUUAAAUUUUUAAAAAAUAAUUAUUGAUUUUAUCAAAUAAAUAAAAUAGUAUUUUAAUCUAUGGACCCCUUACUAUUUUUCUUUCCUUUUCAUGUAUCACAUGUUUAAUUAUUUUUUAUUAAAAAUUAGUUUUUGAUAGGCAUUGCUACUAUAAUACCACUUUCUUUUCAUUAAGGAGAGGCACAAGAACCCAUUACGAUUAGACAAUGGGUCAAAUCAUGAAGUCACAUCUCACUAGUAGAUUAAAAAAAAAAACUUUUAUAACUUUGUUGUUAUCUUUUCAUUUUAAGGGUAAAAUAGGAAAAAACAAUUACGAUGCACUCUAAAAUUGCUUUUAAAUUUAUUCCAAAAUUACCCUAAAAAAUUUGCCAUGAAUGUGAGAAAAGUGGUGAUGUGAUAGAAGGAAAAAGUGAUGAAAUGAAGAGGCAUGAGGUGUUGAUUGGAGGGUGGCACUGUGGAUGACGGUCCUAUGGUGCCACACCGAGGUGAAAGUGUGGGCUAGUAGUGAUAGUGGAGAGAAAUGGAUGCAAAAAAUGGGUAUGGUGGGCAGAUGAAGAGAAAGAGAAAGAGAAAGAAAGUGUUGUGAUUUGCAACGGUUGGUGGUAUUGGAGAAAGGCAACAUUUGGUGUUACAGAAGAGAGACAACAUUGUGUCACAGGAUGCACAAAUGACCCUCCCCAUGGGCUUAUUUUGGAGGUGGGAAGCUUAUGGAAACUCCUGAAGCCAUCUACACUAAGCCAUUGGUGGGAAGAGUGUGGAAGCUUCUAAAAAAGCCUAGGGAUGUUCGCACAUCUUUACAUUAUGGUGGAAGGCAUGAGAAAAUUCCAAGACUUUCUAGAGAGUUCUAGAGGUCUCUUGUAUAUUCUUGUACGUAAGCUUGUACAUAGAAUUAUAUAGGGUGUUCUAGAAUAUUCAUGAGUUGUAAGGAACCCUCCAAGGUUCUAGAGAGUCCAUUGGUGUUUAUAAAUGAGGGUCUUAUUUGGUCAGGGCACCAAGCAAGUGAGUUUCCAAGCAUUGUAUAAACUUUCUUUGAAAUCAGUAAAACUUCCGUUCUUUAAGUGUUGCCUACUACGCCCUCUAAAGCUUUUAAGUUGGGUGCAUCUUUGCAAAGCAAACUAAGUAUCAGGACUAAUGUUGACUUAGCAAGAUCAAGGGUCUUGACUUGUCUAAGUGUCGCACAAGCUUAGGAAAAGACUAAGUUUGUGACAGUUGGCACUAGGUUGUGGAUAAGUGGUGGUGGUGAUGUGGAGAAAGUGAAGGAAACAUAGAAGAAGAAAGAAAAAGAAAUAUGGGAAAGGAAAAGGGAGAGAAAAAAAUACUACUAGGUAAGGGAAACUAUGAGCGGUGGCCAACGACGACACUAAUAGAUAAUGUUAUCAAUGGUGCCGAUAGAUUCGGUGGAAGCGGUAGAUUCAGUGGGAAGUGAGAGGCGACAGUGAAUUGAACUUUGGUGGCAAAUCAUACACGACUACCCUCCUCCCAUCGCAAUCACCAUCAUUCUCAUUUUUCGCUUAGGAUCAAUGUGCCCUCUCUAAGCAACAUUGACAACCCCCCUCCCUCCCCUAUCUUUUUCAUUUCUAAUGUUGUUUUCUACAAUUGGAACUAGGUUUUCAAAAACAUCGACUAUCUCUGGAGGAGUAGUACUAGUACUGUGAAUGAUUGAAAUUGUGAUUUCAAAAUUAGGUUGGGUUCCAACAUAGAGGUAAUAGAGGUUGUUAAGCCUUCAGGAAGACGUGCACAAGUGAACAAUGUUCCUAGAGAUUAUAGUGGUGGAAGAAUACCAUAAAAAGAUAAGAAAAGAAAAGGGAAAAGGACUCUUUCUCAUGCCACCUACCCAUUCUCAGUGUUGACACAUUUUUCUAGCUGGCACCAUUCCCUCCAAUCGUCACCUACCCAUCAUCACCACCAUCCCUUACUUUCAUGGUAAUUUUUUUAAGAUAAUCUUGGAACAAAUUCAAAAACAUUGUUAGAGCGCAUGAAUUAAGAAUUUUUUUUUUCUCAACUUUAUACUUAAAAUGAAAAGAUAAAAGCAAAAUUCCAAAAACCUUAUAGCUUGUUUAACCAUAUAACUUAAAAACGGUUAUCUAAUUUUAAAAAUAGAAAACUGUUUUUUAACACUUUCAAUUGUGGUUGGUCAUUAUUCUAAAAAAAAAUAAUAAUAAUUUAAAACUAGAUUGAAAAAAAAAUCAGGAAACAAUCUCAUUGAUUUAAAUUAUUAUUUAAUUACUUGCACAAUCGUAUGAUUAUUAUUAUGUUUUUGUUAUAUUAUAUUAACAAGUGAAUACUAUGUUGUUGAUUCUAGAUAUCCUUGUAUUAUGGGUUUUCUUCCUCCAUAUUGAGGUGAAAGGUAUUAUUUGUAAUAUUAUCUUAGCAAAAGUUGUCAACCAAAGACUGAUAAAGAAUUGUUCAAUUAUUGACCUUCCUCAUUUAUAAAUAUAAUUGAGUAUUAUUUGUGUUUUAAAAGCACGUUUUUCAAUUUUAAAAAUGAUGUCAUCUUACAAACCAAGUAGACAACUAUAAAUAGUUGUAGCUUGUUGUACUCUUUAUAAUUUCAUUCGUAAAUAGACUUAAAAUGAUGUUAUAUUUAGACAAUGGGAAGAAGAACUUGAAUUUGAAGAUAAGGACGAUACUACAAUUGAAGUAAGUUAUGCAAUGAAUUUAUUAGAUGAAGCAGCAACGAUUAUGACAACUUAUCAAGAUCGUAUUUCAUAGUAGAAAUGGAAUGCUUAUGUUAAUAGUUUGUAAACAUUAGUCAUUAAAUAGUUAUAUUAAUAUACGAAGCAAGAAUGUGAAAUAUGAAAAUUGUUUAACUAUUAUAAUUGACUUGAAGUGUUUGUGUGUACUUGGUUUGCAAUUAUUUUUGUUAGGUGCUUUCAAUUUAAAUUUUUUUUUUGUUUUUCCCAUUAAAAAAAUCAAUCCAACUAUUUAUUUUACUCUCUUUAAAAAAAUGAAUAUUAAAAUUAUUUUUAAUCUUAUAGUAAUUUUUGUUUCAUUUGAAUAAAAAAAUUGUUUAAUAAUUAAAACAAUUAUUUAUCUAUAAUUUAUAUAAUUUGAAUUUUAUUUAUUUAUUUUUAGUGAGAUUUAACUUGAAUGUGAUUUAUAUUAAUGUAAAUUAAAUUUUAAAAAUAAAAAUACAAAAAUUGUUUUUAAAAACAAAGACGAUUCUUUUAUACAAACAAGUUUUUGUUUUUUAAAAACUAUUUUUGAAAGUAAUUGGCCAAACAAUUUUUCUUUGUAAAAAAUACAAAAAAAACCAUUUUUUAUUCUUUAUCUUAAAAAUAAUUUUUAAAAUUAAAAAACACGAUCAAACACCUUAUUUUGUUUUUAUUUUUGGUGUAUGAUUGCAUAAUUUUUUCAUUUUUUAAAAUUGAAUUUCAAGCAAGCUCAUAAUUAUAUAAUUAAAAAACUUGUUUGAUAGUAAUUUUAAGAAGCAAUUCUAAUAUUUUUAACACUUAAAAAAUGAAAAAAGAAUUAUUUUUCAAGUAUACAACGAAGAAAUACUUGUUAGGAUCACUGCUACACAUUCUCUAUGUAGACAUAUCCCACUUCUAACUCUUCAACUUCUGAACUCUUUUGAUGAAAUCCACACUCAAACCACUCACAAGCUCCAAAUUCAAGUCCCAAAUGCAGCCACUGCUUCAACCAGGUUUUGGAGUCAAAAUAAGAGACGUAGUGAUGAAUUCCAGAUAGUCCAUAUCUUAAAGUGAGAAAAUAUCCAAAAAAGAAUUUGUUGUGUUGAGAGGGAUUGCUUGAGAAAUUCAGGAUUAGGGAAUUAUUUUAUCUCAGUGUGGUUUAGAAUUCCAGUUUGGCAAAUUCAGGAUUCAGGACUGGCUUUGGGUUCAAAAUGAUUUGGGGUUUCUACUCAGAAACAUCCAAAAAUUGAACUAUUUGACAAAUUUGGGGUGUGGGAGCUGUUCCUUUGUUUGUGGGAUAUUUGUGCAUGAUUAUGGAACUGCUGAACUGUGUUACAUAAAUUCAAAUUUUAUUUGCUUGAUGGGGAAUUGGUCUGGGAAAAGAUAGCUGAAGAAUAAAGGGAUUGAUGUCAUGGGAUAAGGUUUUGUUGGGUGGACUUGUUUUCCAUGUUUUUUCUCCUCUAAAGGUUAGGGGUGAAAAAUUGUAUUAAAUUCAUUUUUUUGUGCAGAUUUUAUGAUUUUAAUGUUGUUGUUUUCCCUUUUGAAUAAGGAAUAUAAAAACAUUUAUGGAAUUUGAUUUCUUCCAAAAUUAGAUGAGUUAUGAAACCAAAAUAGUGGUUGCAUGUGGUUGAAUCUCGGUUUUUAUUUUAUAAUUUGUCAUCCAAAUCAAGCAAUUCUUAUAUUUUUAGUUUUGAAAAUGAAUUCCAAAAGCAUGGGCUAAUUUAUACCUUAUGUAUAUGAGUUUCACUUUGUAUAUACUUUUUGUUUUUAAAAACAAAAAGUAGGAAGUGUAUCCAAACACUUAUUUUUACUUAAGUUAUAAAGUAAGGAGGUGGAUUUAUUUUAUAAGUUGCUUUUGGUGUCAAAGAAAUUAUUCUUAACAUAAUUAUUAAAAAAAAAAAGAUAUCAAUUAUAUUUGAUUGGUAUUAUCAAUUAUGCUUUGCGGGACCAAGCAUGCCCCAUCUUCUUUGGGCCUCCCACUACUUUAAUCCUACACAGAUGACACAUUUUUAUUAAGAUCCAGAUCCUAUUAUCAUGGACUGGGCAAUGGAGGCUCAGAUCCGGCCGUAAUCAGACGAGCUGUUGGGACGCCAUGGCUGCAACUACCGGGUUGCCCCGCCAAGAAACGAGCCCUUCAUAAUCUCUGAUUUACUUGGAAAGUAUCAUCAUAGCCCCUCGAUUUUCUCAUUGGGAACCAAACAGAUCCAGGACCCUUUGAAGGACCCUAAAUACAUCCAACCAAACAAUAAUAAAUAAAUAAAUAAAUAAAGAUGGACAUCACGGGUCCAGGGAGGGCUCAGAUCCGCCCGUAAUCAGACAAGAUCCAUGUUCGCCAUGGCUGCAACUACAGUUGCAUGUGAAAAAACAGGGCAUAGAAACCCAUUUCACAGACAAUCCGGGUCGCCCAGCCAAGAGAUGGAUCCUUUCAAAUGUCUGAUUUACUUGGAAAGUGUCAUCACAGCCACUUAAUUUUCCUGCACAUUUUCUCAGCAACCAAACAGAUACAAGAUCCUUCUCAGAAAACACAUUUUAAAACACAAACAAAAAAACCAAAACAAAACAAAGAUCAGCCUCAGCGCGGAAGUGAAUAGCGCGUAAAAGGAAGGCUCAGAUUCGCCUUUUAUCAGACAAGAAAAAGAUGACCGUCAUGGCUGCAACCACAGUUGCUUGUGAAACAAGGCACAAAAGGUCCCAUCGCACAAACCAUCCGGGUUGCCCCGCCAAGAAACGGACAUUCCCAGUUCCUGACUUACUCUGAAAACGUCAUCACAGCCUUUUAUGUUGCCCAUAUGAACAGAGAGAUACCCCUAAAACAGAUCCAGAAAACACAGGGAGCCAAAAAAAAAAAGCAAUUUUUUUGGUUUUCCUUGGGGGUUUUGCGUGGAUUUUCUCGGAAAUCAAACGAGGAUGAAUUUUCCCGGAAAUCGAAUGGGGGAUGGAUUUUCUUGGGAAUCAAACGGGGGUUGCAAAAAAAUAAUAAUAAUAAUAACAUGAUUAGAUUAGUACCUGCGAGGAUUGAGAGUGGGAGAGGAAAAUAGGGCCUUUUUAGGGAUUCUCUCGUCUGGAGGGCAACUUCAGAAAAGGGCUUCUAGUUCUUGAUGCCCGAGUGGGAGAAGCGGAUGAUGGCCCUUUCGAUUUUUAUAUUUAGUGGAGAGAGAAAACAAGGGAAACAAAUCAUGAAAACAAUUUUCCUCUCUAUAUAAAUAAUUAUUAAUCAUCCAUCUUUAUUUUGAUUAAAUUACUACCAAAAUUUCGAUUUUUAUCAGUAAUAUUUUAUAAAUUAAAAUUCAUUUGAUAAAAUAAAUUAUUAAUAAAUUUAUUUAUUUAAAUAAAUUAAUAUUAAUAAAAAAAAGUUAUUACCAUGUAUUUUUAAUAAAAUCUUAAAAAUUAAAUAUCAAAUAAAAUAUUUUAUAUAAAUUAAUUUAAUUUUUCAUUUAAAAUAUAAUAAAACAUGUUUCAAUAAAAAUAUUUAAAAUUUUUUUAAAUAAAUAUUAUCUUCAAUAAGAUAAGUUUCUUUCAUUUAACAAUAUGAUGGACCCACAUCGAUCUUCAUUUUGAUACUAAAAACUAUUGCAAUCUCAUAUAUAUUAUACUUAUGUAUAAAUUGUUUUUAUUCAAUAAAAUCAAAUAUUUUUUAACUCAAUUCUAACUUUAUACACUUUCAAAAUUCAUAUUUAUUAUUCUUAAAAUUUAAAUAUCCAAUUUAUCAAUAUGUCUCUAUCUACCGAUGUUUUUCUUCUUGAUCAUAUUUAAGUCAAUUACACUUAUAAAACAACUUAAAAAUGUGUAUUCUUGUUUAUUUUAUCAUUUUUUGAAGUUUUUCCAAAUAUCCCUAUGACUUCUACAUAAUUUUCGUUCCACCGGCAUUUUCAUACUUACCCUGUAUCUAUAAAAAAUAAAUGAAAACAAUUUUAGGUUAGGAGUUAUAAGGACAACUAGUAUUCAUGCAGAAAAUCAGCAUCAGAAUUCGUAACUGCAUUUGAUCAGCUAGUUUAGGAAAUCUGUACAGCUCAUUCUUUCCUUUAUUUUCACAUAUGUUGUUAUACGUUAGCACAAGUUUAGGAGUAAUUUUAGUUUCUCAAAUCUGUAUUUAUACCUCUUCUUCUAAUAAGAAUUGUGUGAAUCAUUUUGUCUAAACCUCUAUAUGGUAUCAGAGCCCACCUCAAAACUCCAACGAGUAUUUCCUGUCUUUCUCACUUCUGCUAUGGCCACUUCUUCCUUUGAUAGUUUUCCAAUAGCCAUCAAUGCCACCCAGCAAAUUAUUGCACGUCUCACACCAACCAACUUCCCUUCAUGGCAUGCCCAAUUUGAGUCUCUCCUCCUCGGCUAUAACCUCUUUGGCUAUGUCGAUGGCACUCAUACCUGCCCACCCCUACCGACGUCAACUGAUGCAGCUGCCACUACCGCUCAUCACCUUUGGUUCCGUCAGGACAAACUUAUUCUAAGUGCAAUUCUGACUUCAGUGUCCCCAGCUGUGAUACCACUCAUAGCAACCUCCCAGACGUCAUAUCAAGCCUGGACUAAAUUGACAAAACUGUAUGCUAGUCGAUCCAGGACUCGUGUCAUGCAGCUCAAAGAGGAUCUCACCCUCAUGCAACGUGGCAAUCGCAACAUUACAGAGUACCUACACUCUGUAAAAACCAUUGCCGAUGAGCUUGCUCUCAUCGAUGCCCCAUUAUCUCAAGAUGACAUCACCCUAUAUGUUCUUCAUGGCUUAGGAUCAGAUUUUCGUGACAUUGUUGCCCCGAUUCGAGCCUGAGAGUCUUCACUCUCAUUUGAAGAAUUACAUGAUCUGCUACUUGGUCAUGAGGCAUAUCUUCGAAGGCUUGACUCCACUGCUCAAUCCUUGGUAGUUACUGCCAAUACCACUCAACGCAGGGACUCACGCUCCUCAAAGAAUCAGUCUUUAUCAACUUAUCAACAAUCCAAGAAUGACUCCAGAUCAAAGUCUCGACAGUCGAAACAAUACAAAUACCCUCCAAGGUGUCAAUAUUGUGAUCAACAAGGCCACAUUGCAAAAUACUGUCCGAAAUUGAAACCCUCUGAAGCCACUGUGAACUGCACAACUACUACUUCUAGUCUAGACAAACGUUGGCUCAUUGAUUCUGCGGCUUCCCAUAAUAUCACUUCUCAGGUUUCAAAUUUACAAUUUCACUCUGAAUAUGAUGGUACUGAUGAAGUUAUUAUUGGAGAUGGAUCAGGUUUGCCCAUUACUCAUUCCGGUUCUCUUACUCUUUCAUUUCCAAACAGAAAAUUUCAAGUUGAAGAUACUCUAUGUGUUCCUACCAUUAACAAAAACUUGAUAUUUGUUCACCACUUCACAAAGCAAAACAAUGUUAUCCUGGAAUUUCACCCAACUUAUUUUCUUGUGAAGGAUCGGAGAACGGGGGAGAUUCUUCUUCAAGGACCGUGUGAAAAUGAAGUCUACCCUCUACCCUCAUCGCCUGCUGCUACUCCAAUUGCUUUUGUCCAUGAACGCACAUCAGUAGCUGGUUGGCAUCAGCGCCUUGGUCAUCCAUCCUUCAAAGUUGUCACUCGCCUCAUUAGUUCUUUCUCCCUUCCCACCACUUCAUAUCUUUCUAGUUCUAAUAAUUGUCAUUCGUGUUCUACCAAUAAAGCUCAUUAGUUACCCUUUCAUAAACACGGUCUAACUAGCACAACACCAUUUGAUUUACUUUACACUGAUGUAUGGGGACCUUCUCCCACUCCUAGUCUCAAUGGCCACAGAUAUUAUGUUAUUUUUGUUGAUCACUUUACCAAAUAUGUGUGGUUCUUUCCAUUGCAUCAAAAAUCAGAUGUUAAAACCAUAUUUCCUCAUUUCUACAAAAUGAUUGAAACUCGUUUUAACAUAAAAAUUAAAGGAGUUUAUUCCAAUAAUGGAGGAGAGUUCACUGUUCUUUGACCCUUUUUCACAACCCAUGGCAUUAGUCAUUAUACAACAACCCCUUAUACACCCCAACAAAAUGGAGUGUCUGAGCGUCGUCAUCGCCAUAUUGUGGAGACAGGUCAAACCCUUCUAAGUCAUGCCUCUCUUCCAUCAGAAUAUUGGGCUUAUGCUUUUGCAACAGCCACAUAUCUAAUCAAUCGACUUCCAUCACCUGUUCUUCAUCAUAAAUCACCUCUUCAAGCUCUCUUCAAGCAACAACCUCGGUAUGAAAAAUUACGUUCCUUUGGAUGUUUCUGCUUUCCCUUGAUGAAGUCGUAUAACACAAACAAAUUUCAAAAGAAAUCUGUUCCUUGUAUCUUUGUUGGCUACUCUACUAGCCAAAGUGCAUAUCUAUGUCUUCAUCUACAAAGUCAACGCAUAUACACCUCCAAACACGUAACCUUUGAUGAAUCUGUUUACCCCUUCAAACAGGUUUCCAUGCCAUCACCCACUGACUCAUCCCCACCAGAAACCUCUUCUUUUCAGGACCAAUUUUGCAGCUUGCUUCCAGGGAGCUUCCAGCAAUCACACGGGCUCAAGGAGAUAUCCCCUCUGCUUCUUCGACUCCAAGUGAAGAUCCAGCUCUUGUGCAACCUCAAGAGGCACCACUCUCCACUUCAGAUCAGGUACCUCUUAGACCUUCUACUUCUGUUUCUCAACCAGAAAAUUCAAUACCAUCCUCUCCACCACCAUGUCCACGAACCAUCAUCACUCGCUCCAUGAACAAUAUCUUUCGGCCAAAACAACUCCACACUACCACCAAGCACCCCUUACCUGAACCACCCGAACCAAGUUGUGUAAGUCAAGCUCUUAAAGAUCCUCACUGGCGCAAGGCUAUGUCAGAAGAAGUGACAACCCUCCUUCAACAUGGGACGUGGGAACUGGUUCCUCCCACUCCUGGCCAGAAUCUUGUUGGGUGUAAAUUUGUGUUUCGGAAGAAACGAAAUCCCGAUGGAACAAUCAGUCGAUAUAAAGCUCGACUUGUCGCUAAAGGAUUUCAUCAACGGCCAGGUAUUGACUACUCUCAAACCUACAGCCCCGUCGUAAAGCCAGCAACAAUUAGGCUUCUUUUAACCAUUGCUGUCAUGCAUGGCUGGCCCCUUCGUCAGUUAGACAUCAAUAAUGCAUUCUUGCAUGGUAAUCUUGAAGAAACAGUCUUCAUGCAUCAACCUCCAGGAUUUGAAGAUCCAUCUCAACCUCAGCAUGUUUGCAAGCUAAAAAAGAGUAUCUAUGGUCUUAAACAAGCCCCACGACAAUGGUAUAAGGCCCUUCGGGAUGCACUCCUCAGCUUUGGUUUUAUUCACUCGGCCACUGACAACUCUUUGUUCAUCUAUAAGUCUCAUGAUAUCUUGUGCUACUGCCUUGUUUAUGUUGAUGACAUAAUUGUCACAAGCAACACACUCAGCUUUGUGAAUAACAUUAUCAACAAGCUUGGCUCUACAUUCUCAGUCAAAGAUAUGGGCUCCUUGCAUUAUUUCUUGGGAAUAGAAGUGAUUCCAACGCCACAGGGGCUCUUUCUAUCUCAACAUCAGUAUAUACGGGAUCUCCUUUCACGAACCUCCAUGGAAAAUGCUAAAGAAACACUCACUCCAAUGUCCACUACAACCAAGCUUACAGUUCAAGAUAAUUCUGAAUGUGUUGACAGCACUGAGUAUCGCAAGAUCAUUGGAGCACUUCAGUAUUUGGGACUCACUCGUCCCGAUAUUGCCUUUGCAGUCAACAGAUUAUCUCAGUUCAUGCAGAAGCCGACAACAAACCAUUGGGCCGCAGCAAAAAGACUACUCAGAUAUCUUAAACAGACCAUGUUUCAUGGUAUCCUUCUCCAAAAGCAUGAUCAAUUCCAACUCAAGACCUAUAGUGAUGCGGACUGGGCAUCAAAUACGGACACUCGUGUUUCAACCACUGCUUUCAUCACAUUCAUUGGUCCUAAUCCAAUCUCAUGGUCUGCACGCAAGAAAAGGGCAGUCUCAAGAUCAUCUACAGAAGUAGAGUUUCGGGCACUAGCUACUGCCACAUCAGAAACAAUUUGGCUUCAUUCUCUUAUCAAGGAACUUGGUCUCACUCUCAUAGAAGCACCUCAAAUGUUUUGUGAUAAUAUUGGCGCCAACCAUUUCAGUUUAAAUCCAGUCCAGCACACACGGAUGAAACACAUUGAAAUUGAUCUCCUCUUUGUACGAGAUCUUGUCCAAAAGGGAACUAUUCGUGUUCAGCACAUCCAUACCAUUGAUCAACUAGCUGAUCUCCUUACAAAAUCACUCUCACGUCAACGCUUUCAACUAUUAAGAUCCAAGAUUGGUGUUGCAGAUGGCACCUCCAUCUUGAGAGGGCAUAUAAGGACAGCUAGUAUUCAUGCAGAAAAUCAGCAUCAGAAUUCGUAACUGCAUUUGAUCAGCUAGUUUAGGAAAUCUGUACAGCUCAUUCUUUCCUUUAUUUUCACAUAUGUUGUUAUACGUUAGCACAAGUUUAGGAGUAAUUUUAGUUUCUCAAAUCUGUAUUUAUACCUCUUCUUCUAAUAAGAAUUGUGUGAAUCAUUUUGUCUAAACCUCUAUAGGGGUGGACUUGUUUUCCAUGUUUUUUCUCCUCUAAAGGUUAGGGGUGAAAGCAACUUAUAGCUGAUGGUUGUUUUCAGAAAUAAGCUGAUCAUAUCAUAGCUGACCGAUUUCUUCUUUGGUCAUCUUGAAGCAAUUUUAAUAUUUAUUUUUCAGUCAGCUACCUUCUAUCUCUUCUUAGCUAUCUAAAAAUCCUCACUCAUCGGCCUCCCAAUAUCAAUGAAAUGGUGCCCAAAAUCUGAAGUGGCUUGAAUUCAGUUCAGGUCUAAAUAGUGGUUUCUGAAUGUUGUUAAGUGGUUUAUUUUUACAUGGCAAAACAUCUAAAAUUAGUAAUAAGAUUUAAUUAUUAUCUUUCUUCUUAUAAUUAACAAUAUUUUCAAAUAUCUCAAAAUGCCAAAAUAUAUUCCUUCUUAUUUUAUAAAAUUGGAAUUAGAUAUUUGAAAAGUAAUAAUUUGAAAAAAUAAUAAUAAUUUAAAAUAUUUCCAAAUAACAAAAAUACGAAAAUUGACUACAUUACAAUGAUGGUAAUUAAUAUGUAAUUAAUUAUGAUAGAAGUUAGUGUUUCUAAUUAUAUUUGGCUAUUAAGAAAAUGUUAGAAAUUCUCUAGGUUGAGUUUCCUUAAUUUUUCUCUCUUUUUUUCUAGUGGAUGUUUAGAUAAAUGUGAGUUAUGUUUUGGAGUUUUAAUUGGAGAAAUUCUGUGAUGAUGUUUUAUGUCAGUUUUGUUGCAUUCUGAGGUGUUGAACUUUGAAAAAUUGUAUUAAAUUCAGUUUUUGUGCAGAUUUUAUGAUUUUAAUGUUGUUGUUUUCCCUUUUGAAUAAGGAAUAUAAAAACAUUUACGGAGUUUAAUUUCUUCAAAAAUUAGAUGAGUUAUGAAACCAAAAUAGCAGUUGCAUGUGGUUGAAUCUCGGUUUUUAUUUUAGAACUUUUUGGAUUUAUUUUAUAAUUUGUCAUCCAAAUUAAGCAAUUCUUAUAAUUUUAGUUUUGAAAAUGAAUUUCAAAAGCAUAGGCUAAUUUAUACUUUAUGUAUAUGAGUUUCACUUUGUAUAUACUUUCUGUUUUUAAAAACAAAAAGUAGGAAGUUAUAAAGUAAGGGGGUGGAUUUAUUUUAUAAGUUGAUUUUGGUGUCAAAGAAAUUAUUCUUAACAUAAUUUUUAAAAAAUAAAAAAUAAAUUAUAUUUGAUUGGUAUUAUAAAUUAUGCUUUGUGGACCAAGCAUGACUCAUCUUAUUUGGGCCUCCCACUACUUUAAUCCUACACAGAUGACACAUUUUUAUUAAGAUCCAGAUCCUAUUAUCAUGGACUGGGCAAUGGAGGCUCAGAUCCGGCCGUAAUCAGACAAGUUGCUGGGACGCCAUGGCUGCAACUACGGUUGCCUGUAAAAUGAAACCCAUUUCACAGAUCACCCGGGUUGCCCCGCCAAGAAACGAGCCCUUCAUAAUCUCUGAUUUACUUGGAAAGUAUCAUCAUAGCCCCUCGAUUUAUUUACUUGGAAACAGAUCGAGGACCCUUUGAAGGACCCUAAAUACAUCCAACCAAACAAUAAUAAAUAAAUAAAUAAAGAUGGACAUCACGGGUCCAGGGAGGGCUCAGAUCCGCCCGUAAUCAGACAAGAUCCGUUUUCGCCAUGGCUGCAACUACAGUUGCAUGUGAAAAAAAAGGGCAUAGAAACCCAUUUCACAGACAAUCCGGGUCGCCCAGCCAAGAGAUGGGUCCUUUCAAAAUGUCUGAUUUACUUGGAAAGUGUCAUCACAGCCACUUAAUUUUCCUGCACAUUUUCUCAGCAACCAAACAGAUACAAGAUCCUUCUCAGAAAACACAUUUUAAAACACAAACAAAAAAACCAAAACAAAACAAAACAAAGACCAGCCUCACCUCAGCGCGGAAGUGAAUAGCGCGUAAAAGGAAGGCUCAGAUUCGCCUUUUAUCAGACAAGAAAAAGAUGACCGUCAUGGCUGCAACCACAGUUGCUUGUGAAACAAGGCACAAAAGGUCCCAUCGCUUAAGCCAUCCGGGUUGCCCCGCCAAGAAACGGACAUUCCCAGGGCCUGACUUACUCUGAAAACGUCAUCACAGCCUUUUAUGUUGCCCAUAUGAACAGAGAGAGAGUGAGCGCUGUUGAUAGCCUCUGAUGUAUAUGUAUAUAUAUAUAUAUAUGUAAAAGAGCGAAGGAAAAGGAGCGUAGUAGAAGGAAUCAUCGGCUCCGACGACCAUGAGAGUGGCAGAGGAAAAUAGGGCCUUUUUAGGGAUUCUCUCGUCUGGAGGGCAACUUCAGAAAAGGGCUUCUUGAUGCCUUAGUGAGAGAAGUGGAUGGCCCUUUCGAUUUUUAGAUUUAGUAGAGAGAGAAAACAAGGUUAACAAAUCAUGAGAACAAUUUUCCUCUCUUUAUAUAAAUAAUUAUUAAUUAUCCAUCUUUAUUUUGAUUAAAUCACUACCGAAAUUUCGAUUUUUAUUUUGAAGGACCCUAAAUACAUCCAACCAAACAAUAAUAAAUAAAUAAAGAUGGACAUCACGGGUCCAGGGAGGGCUCAGAUCCGCCCGUAAUCAGACAAGAUCCAUGUUCGCCAUGGCUGCAACUACAGUUGCAUGUGAAAAAAGGGCAUAGAAACCCAUUUCACAGACAAUCCGGGUCGCCCAGCCAAGGACAGGUCCUUUCAAAAUGUCUGAUUUACUUGGAAAGUGUCAUCACAGCCACUUAAUUUUCCUGCACAUUUUCUCAGCAACCGAACAGAUACAAGAUCCUUCUCAGAAAACACAUUUUAAAACACAAACAAAAAAACCAAAACAAAACAAAGACCAACCUCAGCGCGGAAGUGAAUAGCGCGUAAAAUGAAGGCUCAGAUUCGCCUUUUAUCAGACAAGAAAAAGAUGACCGUCAUGGCUGCAACCACAGUUGCUUGUGAAACAAGGCACAAAAGGUCCCAUCGCACAAACCAUCCGGGUUGCCCUGCCAAGAAACGGACAUUCCCAGUGCCUGACUUACUCUGAAAACGUCAUCACAGCCUUUUAUGUUGCCCAUAUGAACAGAGAGAGAGAGAGAGAGCUGUUGAUUUUCCAGAGAAUCAAGACAGCCUCUGAUAUAUAUGUACACACAUGUGUAUGAAAAGAAAGAAAAGAAAAGAAAGAGCGAAGGAAAAGGGCUGUUGAUGGGCGUCGUAGAAGUAAUCAUCGGCUCCGAAGACCAUGAGAUUCAGAGAGGGGCAACCACCCUUAGAAACUCCCCAUCCCUCCGACACGGUCCCUGGAGCCUCAGUCUUAAACUAAUGAGGUCUAGCCCUAACUUUUACUCAUCCUUUCCCUUUUAUACUACUCCCUGUCUUCUUCUUCUUUGCUUUUAUUUUACUUUUUUGACCUUUCUACCCUCACUAAACCCGGUAUCAAGGAUUGAAAUGUCGAAUUUCGGGAAAUUUCCCGAUAUUUCCUACCAGUCCAGCCCGCGCACAGGAUACAAAAUCUGUCCAUUUUUUAAAAAAAAAACACAAGAUGUUAUUUGGUAAUCUGAUCAUGAUUUGCAGGCAAAGGUUGUGUUUUUCAGCCUGGCUCAAAAAUCGUGGAUUUAGGGUUCGUGAAAUUUAAAUCCAAUGGCACAAAAGCAAAGAGACCCCUAGAACAGAUCCAGAAAACACAGGGAGCAAAAAAAAAAGCAAUUUUUUUGGUUUUCCUUGGGGGUUUUGCGUGGAUUUUCUCGGAAAUCAAACGAGGAUGAAUUUUCCCGGAAAUCGAAUGGGGGAUGGAUUUUCUUGGGAAUCAAACGGGGGUUGCAAAAAAAAAAAUAACAUGAUUAGAUUAGUACCUGCGAGGAUUGAGAGUGGCAGAGGAAAAUAGGGCCUUUUUAGGGAUUCCCUCGUCUGGAGGGCAACUUCAGAACAGGGCUUCUUGAUGCCCCAGUGAGAGGAGUGGAUGGCCCUUUCCAUUUUUAUAUUUAGUAGGGAGAGAAAACAAGGAAACAAAUCAUGAGAACAAUUUUCCUCUCCUAUAUAAAUAAUUAUUAAUUAUCCAUCUUUAUUUCGAUUAAACCACUACCAAAAUUUCGAUUUUUAUCAGUAAUAUUUUAUAAAUUAAAAUUAAUUUAAUAAGAUAAAUUAUUAAUAAUUUUAAUUAUUUAAAUAAAUUAAUGUUAAUAAAAAAUUUAUUACCACAUAUAUAUAAAAUAAAAUCUUAGAAAUUAAAUAUCAAAUAAAGUAUUUAUAUAAAUUAAUUUAAUUUUUCAUAUAAAAUGUAAUAAAAAUUUAUAAAUAAAUAUUGUCUUCAAUAAGAUGAUUCAUUAGAUGAAACCAUAUCAAUCUUCAUUUUGAUACUAAAGACUAUUACAAUAUCAUAUGUAUUAUAUUUAUGUAUAAAUUGUUUUUACUCAAUAAAAUCAAAUAUUUUUUAAUUCAAUUUUAAUUUUAUACAUUUUCAAAAUUCAUAUUUAUUAUUCUUAAAAUUCAAAUAAAUCUACUGAUGUUUUUCUUCUUGAUCAUAUCUAUAUCAAUUAUAUUUAUAAAAUAACUCUAAAAUAUGUAUUUUUACUUAUUUUAUCAUUUUUUUUAUAAUUUUCUAAAUAUUCCUAUAAAUUUUAAAUAAUUUUCGUUCCACCAAUAUUUUCAUUCUAAUCUUGUAUCUAUCGAAAAUAAAUGAAAGACAAUUUUUUACAACAAAAUUUUUUAUGAUUUUUAAAUCAAAAGUUAGUUUUAAAAUCUCAAAUAUUUUUAAUCCACUAUUAUGUUUUUAAAAUUAUAUAAUUAUUUUUUAAAAUAAUAAAAACAAAUAAAAAUAAUUAAGAUUAUGUUUAGUUUGUUAAAAAAAAAUAUUUUAUCAAAUUUGAUUUAAUAGUGAAAAUAAAAAUAAAAUAAUAAUUAAAAUUACUUAAAAACCAAUGUAACUUAAAUUUUUUUUUUUUUUGAUCUUUAGCUUAAAAAAAAAAAAUAAAUAAAAUGAAUUUGAAAAGAUAAUUAAUCUCUCUAAAAGGAAGAGACUCAAAAUUAUCGGAGGAAGAAAAAAAGGGAGUAAGAUUUGAAGGAUAAAAAUAAAGAAGGAACAAGUGGGUGGGUAUUGCAUUAUAUCCAUGAGUUGAUCAAUAACUAGCUCCAUUUCCUUUCCUUUAUUUUCUUGCCAGCCAAACAAAAUCUCAAGCCUGGAACCAUCAUCCCAGCAACCAUUUAUUAAAAGCCAUACACCAAGGAUUCGUAUAACACCAUGGAAUCAACCAUCAUCACCCUCUCAAACCUACAUGCCAAAGCUACACAGACUACUCCCAAGUUCCCAAAUAACCAAGCUUCAUAUCUACUAGCUCCAAAACGGUUAAACAAGAUGAAAGAAGGAAAGGAAGAGAUUACUUGAUGAGAGCCUGGUAAAGGCAGAUCUGCAAAAAUUACAAGCCUUGUCCACAUAGCUUUAUUUAUAGCCCCAUGAAAGCAGAAUUACUUCUUCAUUACCAAAUGUCAGUAUAGGCAAUGCCAGACCUCCAUCUUCCCAUGGCUGCCAAGCCCUUUUAUCAAUAUGUGAAGAUGCAAACCAAAAUGGUUAGCCCAUCAUCCAAAGCUAGCUCCUCCUCCUCCUCCUCCUUAUUUACACCUAACAGUUUCCCUGAUUCACAACAAGUUCAAUUUCCUUGCUUAACAUCUUUCAGAUAGAACAGAACAAUUACGAUUACAAUCACAAAAUGUAACACCACCCCACAUCUUCCUCUGUUUAGCUAAGCAUUACAAGACCUCAAAGUUGAUGUUCCAUCAUCAUAAUAGGCAUGGUGUAUUUCCAGUCUCAAACAAGUUAGGUUCCAUCCUAACACCAUAAUGGUGGGUUGUUUUACAUCAGACAACGAAUCUGAGUCAGUUAACAGGCAAAAAGAAACAUUCAAUAGUUCAAGAAGAUGGCUUAGAAUUUUCUGAAAACCUCAAAACUGUUUUCAUUUAUAAUUACAAACCAACCCAAAAGUUGAACAAUAUGAGGCACUGGGCUGAACAAUCACCUCAGAACUCUGGUAAAAAGAAUGAAGGUUUCUAUAGAUAAAAUGGCCUUUGCAAAUAAAGCAAUGAGAAAAACGGGAUAUAAAUUAAGGAAUAAUAGAAUGAAAAUGUUGAAAGGAAUUUCACAUGGCUUCGAAGAAUGAAUAGAUUCCGUACCCUUGCCGAGAAAUUACAUGGCUGCCUUGCCCCUCUGUUGAAGUACUAUAUCAUGCACAACUUCCCCUGCUGAGUUAACAAAGUAGGUUUCCUGCCAUGGAAAAAGAACAUUUGUUGGUGCUUCAACAAGAACAAAUUUAGUCAAAAAAGACAAAUACUCACAAUCUCUAAGGAGCUGACUCUAUGAAGAAGGAACCCAUUAACCAUUCCCCUGAGGAAACAAAGAAAAAAAUCACACAAACUUCAUAGUUUCAUAUGUAUGAACCAAUGUAGAACACCAUGAAGAACUAUGAACAGAAAUACUCACUUACUAAAACCUGAUAUUCCAUUUACAGAAGCAAGAGGAAGUUUUUCAUCUAUUGAACCUGGGUUCCUGAUGUAAGCUAUACUAUCUUUACGAGCAUAGUCACUACAUCCCUCCCCACUCAGGUACACAUCCUGGUGAGCAAAUGCAUGGAUAAAGCGUUACUUUCUUCAUAGGCACCAGAAAGAUUCCAAAUUUAACAUAUCAGAAAGUUGUUCAUUCAAUUCAUUAGGAACUGUCUUAGAUUUUCAUAUAUAUUGAAAAUUUGGACUUUGAUCAUCUCAAAAGCAAGUUCUCUAAAGAACCCAAAAUCAAAACCUUGGGCAUGGGAUGUCUUCACCCAUUGAUACUCAAUGGGAAGAGCCAUAAAUACUUACCACUCCAAACUUAUAAAAAAUAUGGUGUAGAUGCUCAUAAAGUUGUAUUUCUAUUCAUUCCCUGUUUCCUUCACAAACAGCCAAUGAGCAGAAACCAACAACUAUGCGCCUGGAUCAUAAGGAGGAAAAAAGGAGACAAUUAGUACUUGGGAUGGAUAGUUUCUUUAUUAAGUUAAACAUGGAGUUGAAAUGGUAGGGGUGCUUGGCAAUGGCAACAGGACAGCAAACAAUGAAGGUCCAACAUAGUAACCAGAGAAAACAAAAGGAAAACGAAUGUUUUAACUCCACAACAAUUUGGGUUAAGGCAAAAUUUAAAUGAAAACCAAAAUUUUAUUGUUGAAAGAAAGAAAAUUUGUGAAAUAAAAUUAAGUUGAGAAGUAGAUUAUCACGCAUCAGAACCACUCUGAACUGACAUGAUUUUCAAUUUUUUCAAAAUUUUCCAGACAUUACAACCUUGCUUAUUCCUAGGUUCAUGCAAUUAUAAACAGCCAAUAUGGUGCAAUGUCUAGUGUCUUUGUCAGCCCAUGUAAUUGAUCAUUUCCAGCACCAUUUAACGGAUUCAUAAGCAUAAAAUCCUUCAAGUUUCAAAGAGGAGCCCGAUUAAGAGGAAAGAAGAAUGAAAUGCAGCAUAAAGGAGCAGAAACCAAAAAAAAAAGAAACAAAUGGGGGAUAAAAUGUGUGAUAAAUACAUAUAUGGGAUAUUGAUAGUGUAACUAAAUGAAAUAGAUAUCAAAUCAAUCAUAUACACAUAUAAAUACAACAUAGAAAUAAGCAUGGCCAUGGUGAAAAAGGGCUGCAAUGUGGGUUGUAACCAGAGAAUGGAAUAUGGACAAGGAGCAUAAAAAAUGAUUUGGCAGGCCAAGAAAUGGCUAUUUUAAUAUGAUGAAAAAGAAAGAGAACAAAAGAAAUUCAUUAUGAACAUGACUUGAAGAGUACACCUACGCUCAAAUAAUGACCAAGUGAUCAACUUUAAAAUCACAUUCCUAACCUCAGCCCUACCCCUCAUGGAAAAAUGGAAAAAAAAAAAAUUCUUAAAAGGCCUUGAGAGGGGUAAACCUGCUGGGACUCAAACCUGGAACCACCCCACAUCCCCACCCCCAACCCAAGCUACUCGAGCCACACCUCAAGGGUGAUAAAGAUCUAACCUUCAGCAUUGAAUAAAAAAUAAUCUAAAUGUGCAAAAAAUAUCCAGCAUUUUCUCAUGCAUUUUAAUUGCUUACUAGACUAGAUAGAAUCUCCAGUCAUUGAUGAGAACAAAGAACUCAGUGUCUUUAUUAUUAUUAUUGAAUAAAAAAUAAUCUAAAUGUGCAAAAAUAUCCAUUAUUUUCUCAUGCAUUUUAAUUGCUUGCUAGACUAGAUAGAAUCUCCGGUCAUUGGUAAAAUUCAAUAAUUCCAAUUUCCACCAGUUGAUUUGUCAAGUCCCUAAUUAAAUAAUGAAAGAUACAAUACUUGAUGAGUUAUAUACUAAAAUACUUGUGCUUCCCAAUCUAAUUCUAACAAGAACCCUACAAAAUGCACACCUUAAUCCAACUCAACCAACACUCAAUCUUGCGAUUACCUCAUAGUCCACAAGGUACAUCGGAGAGACCUAACUUAUCUUGAUGUUACAAGAUUUCACAUGAACAUCUGAAUACUGGUUUCCAUAAUUCUUUGUUAUCAUACAUCUCCUGGGGCAUGGUAAAGAUGAAUAUAAAAACAAAAUGAAAUCAAUACAAGAAGUUGAUAGCCCCUCUAUGAUCAUAACUGGGGUCAGCACAAUCAGUAACAUAAGAUUCAUGGUGUAGUAUUGAAGUGUAUCAUAAACUCAACACAAGCAUAUGCAAUGUCAAUUAUCAUUAAGUCAACAAUGAUAUUAAACAUUGGUAUAAACAAAUGAAACAAUGACAACACAACAGGAAAAAACCUUAUACAACUAUUAAUCUAUCCUCUUUGGUAGUCUUUUAUCAUCUUCCACAAAUUUCCCAUUUUCCUCCAUAUGCUGCUCAGAAUCCGACCCCAUUUUUUUUGUAUCUUUGUCAACAUUAAAGGAAAUAAAUGCAUGCAACUUUUAAAGAUUUGAGGCCAUGUGAAAAACUUGUCAUUUGAUGUCAAGUUUUUUUUUAUAUGAAAAGGUUUUCCAAAAUGAGAAUUGCAGAACUAUCAAUCUAUCUUCAUCUAGGUUUGGAGCUUCUCAAGUCUUUUAUCAAUUAUCAUCCUCCAUAAAAUUCCAGUUUUCUUCUGUACAUUGCUCAACCUCCAACAUAAUUUUUAAUUUUUUUUCUAAUUAAGAUUAAAUACAUGCAUAUUUUGAAGAUUAAGCCAUGUGGAGAAUUGUCAAUCAAUCGUAAGUUUUUCCUAUAUCAAAUGCAUUUUUUAAAAUUUUCGGCCUUGUUGGAAAAAAGACCUAAUGAGAUGGGUUUGUAUCACAAAACACUAAGGAUUGACUCAAAAGUCCCAAUGAAAUUAUAGCUACUGUAAAAACCAUGUAACCGCUUCCAAACUUAAACCCAUAUUACAAGAGGAUAGUAGAAGAGGCCUCUCUUCCGACUGACAUAAUAACCAUGAGAAGUAUUAGCCAACAAAUCUUAAAUUGAGCAAAUUCAACAAACCAGUUGAUACCUUAAAUGCCCCAGUAUCCAAACCAAUAAUGUCUAAGGUUUUCCCAAAAGGUAUUUUGAUCUGCUUUAGGAAGUAACCUGUUCCCCGUCCUCUUGAAACUCUGGUACUGUACCUACAAGAAUUACAAUUCAGGAUUACCACACAAAGAGACUAAACCAAAAAGACUGUUACAUUAAAAACUACAUCGGAGUCCAAGUUUUGUAACAAUGAAAUUUCAAAAGAUGAGCUACAAAAAUGACACAACUGAUUGCAAAGCGGAUGGCAUACCAGGGAACUUUCAGUGUUGAAAAACGCCAAGUACCCUGUAAAAGAAGAUGUCAUCUUCUAAGAUUGUUCCUAACAGAUGAAACCAAUGAAAUCUAAUUAAACUCAGCACUAAUUUAUUUUCCAAUCACACACCUAUAAAACAAAACAAAAUAAAACUACAGAAAUAAAUAUGAACCACUAUUCCAUUACUUCAACCAAAGCAUGGUUUCUAUUAUUUCAGUUAAAUUCACAAAAAGUUAGGAGAGAAUCAUUUCUACAACUUACCCAGAGUGAAGCAACGCAUAACUUUGAUUAAAUCUGGCUAAACUACAACUAAAGUUUCCAUAUAAAUGGAGUGUAAGCCUAAAGGUGCCACAAGAGAGUUCAUAUAAAAAAUAGUAAAAGGGCUUCCCACAUUGAAUUUACUAGCCAUGGUCUUACAUUGUGUGAGUUGAUCGUCUUCCCCAAGUUCACUAAUGUUUAUCACAAACCUUGCCUUAUAAGUCUUUGCGGCCUUCUCCAUCUUCAUGGGAAAAAACAAUUCCAAUUAGAACAGGGAAGAUAAAAUAUAAACUCAAAAUGCAAUUAAUGUAGUAGACGAUAAUCAUUCAACUAAGAUCAGUAACAGAGGGGGGAAAUAACAAAGCCUAAAAACAGAGAAGGUGGAAGGCAGAAGUAAGUUGGAUGAAUUAGAACCAAGAAGACAAGACAAGAUCAAAACCAACAGAUGAGAAGGCUGACACAAACAAUUGAGAGAGAUCAAAAACUGAACCAUAUAAUAAAAAACUCACUCACAUGAUUAUUCUCUGGCCAAAAGAUAAAGGUUAUGUUAUUAUUUUUUUAUGUUUAGUUUCAAAGUAGAAAAUAAGCGAUAAAAUCAAAUAUAAUUAAAAUUAUUUAAAUUAUAUAUAUUUUUCAAUUAUUUAGUCUAUACAUAGAACAGAAAAAAUAAAUAAAAUGAAUUUGAAAUAAUAUAAAAAAUAAUUUAUUAAAUUUAAUUUAUUUUUAAAUUUUCUUUAUCGCUUUUUCUUUCUUCCUAUUUUUCUUUUCCAUUUUUUUCCCACAUUUUCUCUUAAAUUUUCCACUAAGCAAACAAAGCCAAAGAUCCUCAAGUUGCAUAUACAAUUAAAAACGGAAAAAGAAAGAUCUUCUACUGUUCAACAACUGUCAUAUUAAAAAAAAUAAUAAAAAUAAAAAUUCGAUCCCAGUAAAACCUAACACAAAAUUCUUUCCUCAAAGUUAAAUCAUUCACAUAGAAAUUAACUGAGAAAGAAAUAAUAAACUGUUUGGUUGCUGAGAAAAUGGAGGCAUAGAAAAGGAAAUCAAAAUUUUGAAACUCUAUUAUUUCCAUUAUUCGAAGGCCCGGAAGAAAGAGGGAAAAAACUUCCACUCUUACCUUAAUUUAGGUUGUUUUGUCAAUUUCGAGGGAGGAAAAAACAGGAAAUUAAUUUCAAGCGAUUUCACUUUCAGCAUUCUCAGUAACCAAACGGAGCGUCUGAUAAAACUAUCAUAUCCACCAACAGAGCCAAAACCAAAUAUACCCACCAUCAACAUCUUAAAACAAAAUCCAUAAAGAACGAGAAAAACCCAUGCUUUUCUUCAAUGAACAAAAGGAAUCAAUAGAGAGGAUGAGAAAUAGACCUGUUUGAGAAGAUGGGUCUGCUGAUUAAGAGGUCUAAAUCCUCCUCUAACACUGAUAAAGUAAAGGUCAAGAGGCCUGCUACUGCCACUGCUGCUCUGGGACAUGGGCUUCUCCCAAGGCCGACCCAAGUUGAAUGCACAAGCAGAGAGACAACUGUGUUAUAACAGUGCGAACCCAUGAAGGUUUCCCCAUUGUUAACACAGGUCUCACAGCCUCAGCUCUUCAACUGGUAAUUGAUUUCACUCAUAGAUCUGAAGAUAUAUGAGGAAUGUAACCGUCGACACCCGUAUCUCUAAUUUCCUCAGUGUUAUCAAUUGCUUGAUUAAGAUAUUCGCUAAUGAAGCUCCACUUGGCAGUUGGCAGGCAGGACCCAUUAUUGAAGGGAAAUGCCUCUACAGUUCGUUUAUAUUAUGGACUCUUUGACUAAAAUCGCUUUGUCAUAUUUGAAACUUUCCUCACAAACAAACGCACCAUCAGCCAUUAAACAUCAUAUUUCAGCAUUCUUUUUUUGCCCUUUUGAUAAUUGUGACACUGUCACACUCCUAUCUCCUAAUUUUCAAAAAUUAUUUUAAAUUUAUAAAUUGAGUUACCACUUCAAAAUAUAAAUUUUUAAAAUAAAAUUAAGUACAUUUAUACUAAAUAUGUGUAUUUGCGUUUAUUACCUUGUAAUAAUAUUUUAUUUAUUUUAUUCUUUAUUAUUAUUGUAAUUUAGAUGAGUUGGUUCGAUCUAAUCUAAUAUUUGAACGAAUUUGGAUAUUUAUUUUUAAUAUUCAGAUUAGACUUUGGUUCAUUUUUUAAAUCUCAUCUUAAUUUGGAUUUGGCUUGAGAGAUACCUCUAAUGAAAAUUAUUAUGGUUCUCUUUAUACAUUCUAUUCUAUUUUUCUUUUAAUAUCUUUGUUUAUUCUCUCGUCUUUUCUUCUUCUUAUUCUUUUAUUUCACAACAUGUUAUCAACACAGUUCUGAAUAUAUAGAAAAAGAGAAGAAUUCAUCUAGAAAAUUUCUUAUAGGUAUGUAGUCUUAUUCUCUUCGAAUGAAAUAUGAAUAGUAUGCAUUGUAUUAUUAUAAUUUUUAUUUACUUUAUCUCAUAGCCAGAAAUUAUGUGAAUCAUAUUUCAUAUAAUUACAUAUUUUAAUUAUUUAAUAACUAGAAGUUAUAUAGAAAAUUUUUCAUAACUAAAAGUUAUGAAAAAAAUAUGUCCAAUCUUUAUAACAAGAUGUUAUGGAGUAAAUUACAAAAAUACAAAUACGUAGUCGGAAACUAUGCAUAAGAUCCCUAAUUACUUUUUUAUUAUAUUAUAUAACUGAAAGUUAUAUAAAAUAACAUUAUAUGGCCAGAAGCUAUAUAAUGAAGAGUUCAUAAUAUGAAGCUAUGUACAAAUCCAAAAUUACAAAUAUACGACCAGAAGCUAUGUAUAUAACUCAUAAUUAUUUGUUUUUAAUUAUAUAGUAUAACUGAAAGUUAUACAAAAUAAUAUUAUAUAGCCAGAAGCUAUAAAAUGAAUAGUUUAUAGCUUGAAAUUAUGCACAAAUCUGCAUAAUGAAUAGCUCAUAGCUUGAAGUUAUGCACAAAUUUAUAUAAAAAAUAGUUCAUUGCCUAAAACUAUGUACAAAUUUAAAUAUUUUCUUGUUAUGACAAAAUAAUCAUAACUUGAAGUUAUGAAAGAUAUUAACUUUUAAUUUCUUUAUUUUCUUUUAAUUAUAUUGUGUAACCGGAAGUUAUACAUAAAUAGUUUAUAGUCUGAAGUUAUGCACAAAUUUACAUAAAAAAAAAAGUUCAUACCCUGAAUCUAUGUAUAAAUUUGCAUAUUUUUUUGUUUUGAUAAAAUAAUUAUAACUCAAAGUUAUGAAAAAAUAUUGGCUUUUAAUUUUUAUUUCAUAUUCACUUAUUUUUCACAAUAGAAAUCAUGGAAAACAAUUUUUAUUAACAAUGGUUUCAUAACCAGAAACUAUGCAAACAAUUUCUAAUUCUCUUGUAUAACCAGAAGUUAUACAAAACAAAAUUGUCAAUGAACAACUAUGUACCUAGAAGAUAUAUAAUUUUUUUUAAAUUUUGUUAUAUAAUCAGAAGUUAUAUCAUAAUAUAAUUGUCAAUUGUUUAAUGUUAUUAUAACAUUAUUUAAAUUUUAAUUAUUCAUAGCCUGAAGCUAUGAAGAUAAAGUUAGUAAAUUAUUAAUUAUUAGAGCUUGUAUAAGAAGUUAUAUGAAUAUAUAUAUAUAUAUAUAUAUAUAUAUAUAUAUAUAUAUAUAUAUAUAUAUAUAUUAUAACCAGAAGUUAUAUAAAUAUUAUUAUUCAUAAACCAAAGUUAUGAAAAUAAGAAAAUUAAUAUUCUUUGUGCUAAUCAAAUGUUAUGUCAAAGUUGCUAAUAUGUACUUUUUUUUAUAGUUAGAAGCUAUAGAGAACAAAAUUGUUAACUAACAAUUUUGUACAACUUUAUGAAAUUUAUAUGACCAAAAGUUAUAAUGAAAUAUAUUAUAGCUUGAAGCUAUGAUAACAAGCAUAUAGAUAAUAUUUACAUAUUAUCAAAAGAUUAAUAUUUUGUAUAUCAAGUUAUACAAAUAGACAAGUGUUUGAUAGUUUUUAUAAAUUUCUAUUAUUAGAAGUAUAUUGUCAUUAGUAGAAAAAUUUAUAUAUAGAUGUGGAAUUUUGAAUUGCAUGAAAGUAUGAUAUUUUUGUAUCAGAGGCGAUGGUUUGGAAUACUUUUUUUAUUCAAGUUAUUUAAUAUACAAUAAUAUUUUGAUUUAGAAAUUUGAGAUUUUUUGGGUACAUGUGAAAUAUAUGACUUGGUCAUAUGAUUAAUAAAUUGAUUUCGCAUGUCUUAUUUGUUUAUAACAUGUUUUUAUGAUUGAAAUUUUUUGAGUUGUAUAAAAUAAUAUAUAUUAUUGUAUGUUGUCACAUAUGAUAUUUUUAUUAAUGCAUUAAUUUCAUUAUUCAAGAAUAUCUUUUCAAAAACAAUAGAUUCAACUAUUAUUUUUAAUAUAUUAUGUUAUAUCUUUACAUACAUAUUUAUAUAGAUUUGUAAUGUUUCAAUUGAAGUUUUGAAAUAACAAGAUGCUUUAAAUCAUGAUAUGUUCUUUUGAAAUUUUGAUUUAUGAAUUAAUUUCUGCACAUUGAUUUAGAACGUAAUAAUAUUUUGAAUAAAAAUUAUUGAUUUAUCACUACAAUUAGUUUGAUUAUUGAAAGACUUCCUAGUUAUUUCAUAUAUAAAUUGCUCCACACUUAUAAAAUCAAAUGUGUGAGAUAUUUAAGAAACAUAUAACUUUAAAUUAUCUUUUUCAUAUUUGUUUUGUUGUGUUAUAUAUGCUUUCAUUGUUUUUACACAACUUAUUAAGGUAAGUCAUCAUCGAUGACUAGUAUUUUUCCAUUUGAUUUUAACUCAUUCUCUAUGAUAAUAUUUCUUCAACUUUGAGGUCUUUAUGACAUGUUUUAUGACUUGUUAUUUUGAUGAAACUCUUAUCUCAUUAAUUGCACAACAUUGAUAACAAACAAUGUUAAUACUAUAUCAGGUGAUAUAAACCUAAUUAAAGGCUCUAGAAUAACUUAUAAUAUGUCACUAGUAGUAUUUGAUUCCAUGUGAAUGACACUUUAUACGAUGAUAGAUCAAGAAGAAUCUUGUAAGACCAACUUGGUCCCCCAUGGUAAAAGGUCGUAUGGAUGUACAUUAUAAAACCAGAAGUUUUUAUUUAGUAACUAGUCUACCUAUACACUUGAAAGAUAGAAUGACACGUUGUGCAGAUUAUCAUUUUAAUUAGACAAUUUUCUUGCCGUUAGGGAUAGAAGAGUCAAUUCCAGAAGAACAGCGUGAAAUUAUUUGGAAUGCAUCGACUUUGACUUAUCUUGAUCCUCGUACUAAUCAAUGUGAAGUGGAAGUUCAAAAGAUUAUUUAUUUGCAAGAACUUGUAAAUCAUUAACUACAUGUUAUCAUUGAUGCAAAGAAAGUGACAAUCAUUUUCGCUUACCUAGAACAUUCCAGUACGAAUUAAUGUCCCUGAAUGACAAUUAAAUAAUGCGUUGAUGUCCCUAAAUGACAAUUAAAUAAUGAGUUGAUGUCCCUGAAAGACAAUUAAAUAAUGAGUCUAAUGCACACUUGAAGCGUGGUAAACCCUGAAAAGGCAAACAAAUUCCUUUAAAAGAAAAACACAAGGAAAGAUAUAUGAAAUGUGACACUCUUGAAGAAGUUGCAUAUAAAAUGAGUUAUUAAAAUGAUUGAUCAAUCUCAAGCAGCCCCUGAAGAGGCACAGUUUAAACAAGUAGCCCUAUGAUAGGUGUAUGUUUAAUAAUUAGUUCCUGAAAAUGUACAAGUACCUGAUAUUGAUGAGAUCUCAAUUAUUUACUUAUAUAUGGAAAAAAAAUGGGAUUGAAAUACUCUUGUCAUUAACAAUAUAUUUUCUUUCCAAAUAGCUGUUGACAUUAUAAGAAAUGAUGAGGAUCCCAAAGUAGAAACUAUGAAUGAAUGUCAACAUAGAAAAUAUUGGCCAAAAUGGAAAGAAUUCAUCCCGAAUAAAUUAUACUCAUUAGAAAAAUGAGAAGUAUUUGGACAUGUAGUCUAAACGCCUGAAGUUGUCAAACUUAUUGGAUAUAAAUGAGUAUUUAUAAGAAAGUGUAAUGAGAAAAAUGAAAUCACAAUAUAUAAAAUGUGACUCAUAGCUCAAGGUUUUCCGCAGAAACCUACUAUUAACUACGAGGAAACAUAUUCUCCUAUGAUGGACGCAACCAUAUUUAGAUAUCUAAUUUGUUUAACAAUCUUAGAAUGACUAGAUUUGCGUUUCAUGGAUGUCAUUAUUGCAUAUUUACGUGAAUCUUUAGAUAAUGACACACACACACACACAUAUAUAUGAAAAUCCCUGAAGGAUUUCAAAUGCCUGAAGCAACAAAUUCAAAACAUUGUAGCAUAUACUCAAUUAAGUUACAAAGAUCCUUGUAUCAAUUAAGCAAUCCAAAAACAUGUGAUACAAUCACUUCAAUGAAUAUUUGAAGCGAGAAAUAUGUAUGUAUUACCUUAUUUAUUUAUACAUAUUCAUUAUAUUGAAUUUUUUCAAUUAUUAUUGUAUAUGUGGAACAUUGAUUUUUUUUGGAACUCCUGAAGAGCUUACAAAAAUAGUUGACUAUUUAAAAAGUAAUUUUUGAAAUGAAAGAUCCUGGAAAACAAUUUUUUUUUCCUCGGCCUGCAGAUCGAGUAUUUUUCAAACGAAAUAUUAGUUUAUUAGUCAACAUAUACAAAGAAAUUCUUGAAGCACUUUUAUAUGGAUAAAUCACAUCCAUUAAGUUCUUUGAUGAUAGUUCAUUCACUUGAAGUGAAAAAUGACUCCUUCUGUCCUAAAGAAGAUAAUAAAGAACUACUUGGUCCAAAAAUACCAUAUUACAGUGUUAUUGGUGCACCGAUGAAUCUUGUAAAUUAUACAUGACCAAAUAUUGCAUUCUUUGUUAAUUUACUUAUGAGAUAUAGUUCUACACCAAUUCAAAGACAUUGGAAUAAAAACAAUCAUGUACUACAAUAACAUGGGUCUAUGUUAUUCCAAAUGAUCAGAAUCUUAAGUGCUUGAAUAUGUAGAUGUUGACUAUCUUUCACACCCCCACAAAGCUCGAUUUUAAAUGAGGUAUGUAUUUAUCUAUGGUGGUACGACAAUAUCGUGGAGAUUAAUCAUGCAAAUAAUGGAAACAUGUGGACUACCCUCCAUCAAAGGUAAUGCUACCAAGUUAAUAAUGUUGCAUGCAUUGCACAUAUUAAAGAAUGAUACAUUAAGGGUGAUAGAAUUAAGUAUAUAUCGUCCAAGUCUUUUACUUUCAUUAACUCAAAAAGAGUGAUGAAAUUGCUAUUCGACGACAAUUUAGUAGAUCUAUUCACAAAGGCAUUGCCAAUUGUAAUACUCAAGAAGCUCAUUGGAAUACAGCGACUCAAAGAUCUCCAUGUUGUGCUACUAGAGAAAAUAUAAUCAUGUCAACAUGAGGGGGAGCUAAUUGAUAAGAAUAUCACUACGCUACACUCUUUUUUCCUUCAUCCAAGUUUUGUCCCAUUGGAUUUUACUGGCAAGGUUUUUAAUGAGACAGUUGUGGUAAUCCAAAAAAAUAUUGUACUCUUUUUCUUUCACUAGGGUUUUUCCCAUAGGGUUUUUCCUAGUAAGGUUUUAAUGAGACAUUCUUAUGAUCAUCCAAGGAGGAGUAUUAUAAAAUAUGAGAUUUUGUAUCACUAUGGUAACUUGUGGAUGAUCAUUCAUAUUAAUGUACAUCUCUUUGUAACUCCCUAUAAAAAGGAGAUACCUCUAAUGAGAAUUAAUCCGGUUCUCUUCCUAUAUUUUGUUAUACUUUUCUUUGAAUAUCUUUGUUUAUUCUCUCGUUUUUUUUUUCUCAUUCUUUUAUUUCACAACAUAUAUAUAUUGUUAGGAAUUUGAGGCUAAUCCAACUUAUGGUAAUCACCCUAGAGGGGGGGGGGGGGUGAAUAGGGUGAUGGUCUCUUUUCGCAAAUUUAAACAAGUGAAUGUAAGAGACAAUUAUAUACAAAUAUCAAUAUAUAUAUAUAUAUAUAUAUAUAUAUAUAUAUUGUUAGGAAUUUGAGGCUAAUCUAACUUAUGGUAAUCACCCUAGAGGGGGGGGGGGGGUGAAUAGGGUGAUGAUCUCUUUUUGCAAAUUUAAACAAGUGAAUGCAAGAAACAAUUAUAUGCAAGUAUCAAUAUAUAGACAAUUGCAUAUAAAUUAAAGAGUAGGGAAGAGAGAAUGCAAAUACAAGAGUUUAUAGUGGUUCGGCGCAACCCGACCUACAUCCACUCUCCUCUAAUUUCAAUCCUGAGCUUGAGGUUCCAUUAAUCCAAGACUUCCAAACCAAGCCUUCAAGCAAUACAAUUGGAUUAUGGUUCCAAUUCACCCUCUUGGACUUUUGGCUCCAAGCACCCUUUACACUUCUCAAGAGAUAUCCCACUCUUGAACAACCCUUCAAGUGAUACCCCACACUUGAGAAACUUCCUCUCAAAGAUUUACAAAUGAAUGAUCUCUCAAAAAUCCUAGCACAAAAACUUUAAGCUCAAAUGAUACAAGAAAAACUAUGAUUGAAUGGUGCACUAAAGACAUGCAAGUUUUGAAAUAAUGGUGCACUAAAAAAUACUCUUCCAAGGCUCAAAUAUAAUCAAGAAAGAUUUGGGAAGAUUAAGCUCUCGAAACAAUGAAUAUUGGAGCCUUUUUAUAGAAGAAAAAAACCAAACUAGCCGUUGGGGGUUCGUCCGGUUGAGCUAGGGGUUGAUUGGUUGACUAGCCGUUAGCAUUUAAUGAUUGGUAGGUGACUGUUGGGCCUCAAUCGGACCUCGACCGGACCUCAACCGGUUGAUGUUCAACCUUGACCAGGAAGAGAAGGCCACUAGGAGAGAGAGAAACUUUUUAGCCUCCUUCAACCGGUCCUCGACUGAACGAGCACAACCGGUGAAUCGGUUGAACCGGUUGAAUCAUUUUUUGGCUCAAUACCCAACCUUUUUCAACUUAAAACCUUUUAACACAAGUUUGAAAAUCAUUUAACACAAGGUUUUAGUUAAAAAUAUGAAAUCAUCCAAUUCUUAAAAUUUUUAAAACAAUAUUACUUUUGGAUGAUUUUGAUGCAAAAAUAAAGAAUGAAAUGCAUGAAAGUCCUAGUGCACCAACAACCUUACAAAGAGAUCUUAUGAAGCUUUGGUCUUAAAAAAAUUUUCUCUUUGAGGUGAUCUUCUUCUUCAUGAUUUCUCCUUGGCUUGAUUUGUCUUUAUGAUUGCCACUUUGGAAAUCAUUUUGCCUAAUCACACUUGAAAUAUGACCAUUAGUUUUAAACCUUGUUUUGUUAUCAUCAAAAUCAAGAUUAACCAAACUUUGGUUUCACACACACACACACACACACACACACAUAUAUAUAUAUAUAUAUAUCAAACUAUAAUUAUAUAAUUUUUUUAAAUGUAUAAAUCCAUUUUAUUUUUUUAUUAUCUUAAAAUUUUUAUUUUUAAAUAUAGAAAUGUAUUUUUGUUAAAAAAUUAUAUUUCAUAUUUUUGUUCCAUUAUUACUUUUAUUCCUUCUUUUUUGUUUGAUUUUUGCAUGUUAUGUUGUCCAUUUUUCAUUUUUAUUUCUUUCAUUUUUUUUAUUUGGAAAAAAAUAAAUAAAAUAUAAUUAAUAGUGACAAAUGAAAAUAAAAAAAGAAAUGUUGAAAAAUAAAAAUAAAAUUGGUCAUUUUCGUGCAUUUUAUUUUAUUUGUGUGUUUUGAUUAUUCUCCUUUUUAAACAAUUGCAUAAAAGAAAAAAAAAUGAAAAUGAUUGUAGGUGAUUUUCUUGAGGAAAGUAUUCGAAAGUUGAUGUAUAAUGUCAAAGAAGAGUCUUCGUUGUAGGUGGGACGAGAGAGAAAGCUACUUUGAAUUUUGAAACUUUACCAUCUAAAAUCAAAACAAAAUCAAGUGCAAUUUAUGCAAUUUUGUAGGAAAUUAUUAUUAUUAUUAUAAUGGUAUAACAAGUUUAAUAUAAAAAAUAAAAAAAUUGUAGUAUAAAAAUAUUAUAAUAAAAUAAAUAAAUUUAUUUUUAAAAAUAUGAAAAUUAAUAUAAAAAUAUUAGGGAAAAAUUAUGUGUACACAUAAAAAAAUAAAAAAUAAAAAUUGAUGGAUUAAAUUACUAUUGAAAUUAUAAUCCGACUUAAAGUCAAAUUAGAAGAAUUUUAUGAAAUGUCAUAUCAAAACUAAAAUACUAAAAAAUGUGCAGAAUCAAAAGAAAAUUAUAAUUUUGUUCGUGAAAUUAUGACUAUAAACAAUAACUCAAUUCAUUUUCAACUCCAGUAAAAAAUUUGAUAAGUUGUGUAUAUGCAUGUCUUGUUUAAAUCUCAAUAUCUAUAAGAUCUAGUGAAUAAUAGUGUGGACUCCGCAUUUUGCACGAUGUGUUCUCACUCAAUAGCGUGACUUGCUUUUCGUUUAUUUGUGAAAAAUUAUGAUUUUUAGAAAAUACUUGGAGUCGCCACUUAUUUUUGUUUUAUUUUUUUAAGGGAAAACAAAGUAAGAAAAAAACUCUAAGUGUGACUCUUUAUUUAGAAAAAACGGUUUGUGAAAAACCAAACCUGGGUUUGGGGGGUUAGGUUACUUAUUGAGAAGGUAGGGUAAAGACCGUAGCACCCCUCUAAACCCCUAAAAAUGGGUCUCUACUAAAUAAGGUGAGUCAAACCUGACAAUUAACUAGGAGAUCAAUGGAUACUAAAAUGAUCAUAGGUCAAAAGCAAGUCAUGAUAAUGAAUAAAUAAAAAAAGUGAGAGUGAGAACGUACCUUGACAGUAGGUAAUAAAGCGUUAUCAUGGAAACAAGGUUAGCUUAAGUAUAAAUUUAUUACACGCAUAUCAAAGAUCAAGACAAAAAUCAAGCAAUAUUCGUUAAGCAUAACAUUUGACAAUCAGAAGAGAAAACUCAUAUGUGGGACCCCCACCAAAGCCCAAUUUAUCUUGCACGAAUUAGUCUCACAAAUUUCAUUAUUUUGGAAUUAUGAAAAAUUCAUUUUUGCUUAUUUAAAAUAAAGAUAAACAAAAAAUUAUUUGAUAAUUGAAGAAAAUUUGUACAUGUGCAUACCAAAAUGAGAAUGGUAGCAGACUCAUUAAAAUCAGGAUUUUUGGCAACCUAAAACCCUAAUAAAUGAUGAAAAGUUGUAGAAAUUAAAAAAUAUUUGAAAAUUGGAGUGGAAUUAAAAUUGUUCAAGAGAAAACUAGAGUUUUGAAAAUUGAAGUCUAAAAAAUUAUUUGAGAAUUGGAGUUUUGAAAAUUAAAUUUAAGAAUUUAAAUUUUUAGAAAUUAAAUUUGAAAGAAAUUUGAAAUUUGAAAAUUAUUUGAGAAUUGGAGUUUUCAAAAAUUAAAUUUAAGAAUUGGAAUUUUGGAAAUUAAAUUUUGAAAGAAAUUGGAAUUUUGAAAAUUAUUUGAGAAUUGGAGUUUUGAAAAUUAAAUUUAGGAAUUGGAGUUUUGGAAAUUAAAUUUGAAAGAAAUUGGAGUUUUAAAAAUUAAUUGAGAAUUGAAGUUUUGAAAAUUAGUUUUAAGAAUUGGAAUUUUGGAAAUUAAAUUUGAAAGAAAUUGGAAUUUUGAAAAUUAUUUGAAAAUUGAAGUUUUGAAAAUUAAAUUUAAGAAUUUGAAUUAAAUUUGAAAGAAAUUGGAAUUUUGAAAAUUAUUUGAGAAUUGAAGUUUUGAAAAUUAAAUUUAGGAAUUGGAGUUUUCGAAAUUAAAUUUGAAAGAAACUGGAGUUUUGAAAAUUAAUCGAGAAUUGGAGUUUUGAAAAUUAGUUUUAAGAAUUGGAAUUUUGAAAAAUUAUUUGAAAACAAAAGUUUUGAAAAUCAGAAUUUCGAAAAAUUAUUUGAGAAUGGAAUUUUUAAAAGAUCAAUUUUUUAACAUAAAAAGAUGGAUUAGGAGGGUGACACGUCAAACAUUGGAUAGCAGCCCUCUAGAGUGGAAUCCCAAGGUUCUCCUCAAAAAAUACCUCAAUGCCUAAAUGGCUAAGCAUCUGUCUAAAAAAAAAAAGUAGCAAUAGUAGGUUUUCCAUUUGUUCCAGUCACUACUAAUAUCUUAAUACUUCUUGGAAGAAUUUCUGCAGCAAAAUCCAACUCAGACAGUAUUCUCUUCCCUGAUUGCAACAAGAAGGAAAGUCCAUGACUUUCCAAGGGAACUCUUAGUGAAACAACUACCAUUUCGGCAUCCUUGAGAAGCUUUGUGUCAAAAUGUCCAAGAACGAUUUUCAAAUGACCAUGCUUUUCAAACAGGAGAUCGAGCUCUAGCGAGAGCAAGCUUUGUUGCAGCUCUACCAGAUUUUCCCAACAAGAAAACAGGAAGCUCUCAACCAAACCCAAAUUCACGAAAGAGAAUCAAACCAUAUGGGAAACAUCCGGAUCGGCGCGGUAGCUACAGUCUUGUAACAAAUCUCACUUGGGGUCUAGAGAUUCAUGCUACCUCAAGCUUUUUCUUAUCAGCCUCAUCAUCCCAUGGUUUCACAUCCUAGUGUACAAUCGCAUACCCAAGAAUGCACAAACACAAGGAGUAGGGAGAAAACAACAAAAACAUAGCACAAAUGAAGAAAAUAAUAUGAACCAUCAAAAGCCACACUUCAUGUCUUAGUCAGUGGACUUAAAGAUAGGUGGAUUAAAAGGAUUUCUAAAUGUCACAAAAGAGAUAAAAAUUAGUUGGACCAAUUUUUGAACACAAAUUGGAGGAACAAAGGAGCCAUUAACUAUGAAAAAAAAAAUAAAGAUUGGUCGUAUUGGAGAAAGACAACAUUUGGUAUUGCAGAAGAGAGACAACAUUGUGUCACAUGAUGCAUGCACAAAUGACCCUUCCCAUGGGCUUAUAUUGGAGGUGGGAAGCUUCUGAAAACUCCUUAAGCCAUCUAUACUAAGCUAUUGGUGGGAAGAGUGUGGAAGCUUCUUAAAAAGCCUAGGGAUGUCCACAUAUCUCUACAUUAUGGUGGAAGGCAUGAGAAAAGUCUAAGACUUUCUAGAGAGCUCUAGAGGUCUCUUGUAUAUUCUUGUAUGUAAGCUUGUACAUAGAAUUAUAUAGGGUGUUCUAGAAUAUCCAUGAGUUGUAAGGAACCCUCUAAGGUUCUAGAGAGUUCCAUUGGUGUUUAUAAAUAAGUGAGGGUCUCAUUUGGCCAAGGCACCAAGCAAGUGAGUUUCCAAGCAUUAUAUAGCUUUCUUUGAAAGCAGUAAAACUUCUAUUAUUUAAGUGUUGCCUACUACGCCCUCUAAAGUUUUUAAGUUGGGUGCGUCUUAGCGUAGCAAGCUAAGUAUUAGGAGUAAUGUUAACUUAUCAAGAUCAAGGGUCUUGACUUGUCUAAGUGUCGCACAAGCUUAGGAAAAGACUAAGUUUAUGACAGUUGGCAAUAGGUUGUGGAUAAGUGGUGGUGGUGAUGUGGAGAAAGUGAAGGAAACAUAGAAAAAUAAAGACGGGAAAGGAAAAGAGAGAGAAAAAAAGACUACUAGGUAGGGGAAGCUAUGAGCGGUGGCCAACGACGACACUAAUGGAUAAUGUCGUCAAUAGUGGCGGUAGAUUCGAUGGAAGCGGUAGAUUCGGUGGGAAGUGAGAGGUGACGGGGAAUUGAACUUUGGUUCUCCUCCCAUUGCAAUCACCAUCAUUCUCAUUUUCCGCUUAGGAUCAAUGUGCCCCCUCUAAACAACAUUGACAACCCCGUCAUCUUUUUCAUUUCUAGUGUUGUUUUCUAUAAUUGGAACUAGGUUUUCAAAAACAUCAACUAUCUUUGGAGGAGUAGUACUAGUAUUGUGAAUGAUUGAAACUGUGAUUUCAAAAUUAGGUUGGGUUCCAACAUAGAGGUAAUAGAGGUUGUUAAGCCUUUAGGAAGACAUGCACAAGUGAACAAUGUUCUUAGAGAUUAUAAUGGUGGAAGAAGGCCAUAAGAAGACAAGAAAAGAAAAGGGAAAAGAGAAAAGGACUCUCUUUCACGCCACCUACCCAUUUUCAGUGUUGACACCUUUCUCCCAUUGGCAUCAUCCUCUCCAAUCGUCACCUACCAAUCAUCACCACAUCUCUUACUUUCAUGACAAUUUUUUUUAAGAUAAUUUUGGAACAAAUUCAAAAACAUUGUUAGAGUGCAUGCAUUAUUAAAUUUUUUUCUCCACUUUAUACUUAAAAUGAAAAGAUAAAAGCAAAAUUCCAUAAACCUUAUAGCUCGUUUAACCAUAUAACUUAAAAACAAUUUUUUUAACACUUUCAAUUGUGGUUGUUCAUUAUUCUCAAAAAAAAAUAAAAAAUAAAAUAAAACUAGAUUGAAAAAAAAAUCAGGAAACAACCUCAUUGAUUUAAAUUAUUAUUUAAUUACUCCCAUAAUCGUAUGAUUAUUCUUAUGUUUUUGUUAUGUUAUAUUAACAAGUGAAUACUAUGUUGUUAAUUCUGGAUAUCCUUGUACUAUAGGUUUUCUUCCUCCAUAUUGAGGUAAAAGGUAUUAUUUGUAAGAUUAUCCUAGCAGAAGUUGUUAAUCGAAGACUAAUAAAGAAUUGUUCAAUUAUAGGCAUUCUCGUUUAUAAAUAUAAUUGAGUAUUGUUUUGUGUGUUAAAAGCACAUUUUUCAGUUUUAAAAAUGAUGUCAUCUUACAAACCAAGUAGACAACUAUAAAUAGUUGUAGCUUGUUGUACUCUUUAUAAUUUCAUUCAUAAAUAGACUUAAAAUGAUGUUAUGUUUAGACAAUGGGAAGAAGAACUUGAAUUUGAAGAUAAGGACGAUACUACAAUUGAAGUAAGUUAUGCAAUGACUUUAUCAGAUGAAACAACAACGACUAUGAUAGCUUAUCGAGAUCGUAUUUCAUAGUAGAAAUGGAAUGCUUAUGUUAAUAGUUUGUAAACAUUAGUCAUUAAAUAGUUAUAUUAAUAUACGAAGUAAGGAUGUGAAAUAUGAAAAUUGUUUAACUAUUAUAAUUGACUUGAAGUAUUUUGUGUGUACUUGGUUUGCAAUUGUUUUUGUUUCAAUUUAUUUUAUUUUAUUUGUUUUUCCUAUUAAAAAAAUCAAUCCAACUAUUUAUUUUACUCUCAUUAAAAAAUGACUAUUAAAAUUAUUUUUAAUCUUAUAGUAAUUUUUGUUUUAUUUGAAUAAAAAAAAUUGUUUAAUAAUUAAAACAAUUAUUUAUCUAUAAUUUAUAUAUAAUUUGAAUUUUAUUUAUUUAUUUUUAGUGAGAUUUAACUUGAAUGUGAUUUAUAUUAAUGUAAAUUAAAUUUUAAAAAUAAAAAUAGAAAAAUUGUUUUUAAAACCAAAGUCGAUUCUUUUAUACAAACAAGUUUUUGUUUUUUAUCUUUAAAAAUUAUUUUUGAAAACAAUUGGCCAAACAAUUUUUCUUUUUAAAAAAUACUAAAAAUGCCAUUUUUUAUUCUUUAUCUUAAAAAUAAUUUUUUAAAUUAAAAAACACAAUCAAACACCUUAUUUUGUUUUUAUUUUUGGUGUCUGGUUGCAUAAUUUUCCCAUUUUUUAAAACUGAAUUUCAAGCAAGCUCUUAAUUAUGUAAUUAAAAACUUGUUUGGUAGUAAUUUUAAGAAGCGAUUAUAAUAUUCCUAACACUUAAAAAAAAAAUUAUUUUUCAAGUAUACAACGUAGAAAUACUUGUGAGGAUCACUGCUACACAUGCUCUAUGUAGACAUAUCCCACUUCUAAGUUCUAACUCUUCAACGUCUGAACUCUUUUGAUGAAAUCCACACUCAAACCACCCAAAUCCAAGUCCCAAAUGCAGCCACUGCUUCAUCCAGGUCUGCUUCAUUCUCAUUUCAUCACUUCCUUUUUCUAUUAAUUAUUUUAUGAUUGUCCUUUUUGUUUCUUUUGUAUGAAUCCUAAGUGUCUUAUUGUUUUCCAUGGGCAGAAAAUACUUCCAUGAGAAAUUCUUCCCCAGAAAAUUUCCCCAACCUUGUCUGGUAAUAUACCCAUGUUUUUUUCCUAAUCUUUUGCGUCAAGCUUGGAAACUUCUGCUUCUGUCUUGUGCCCCUUAUGAUGGGUUUUGGAGUCAAAAUAAGAGACGUAAUGAUGAAUUCCAGAUAAUCCAUAUCUUAAAGUGAGAAAAUAUUCAAAAAAGAAUUUGUUGUGUUGAGAGGGAUUGCUUGAGAAGUUCAGGAUUAGGGAAUUAUUUUAUCUCAGUAUGGUUUAGAAUUCCAGUUUGGCAAAUUCAGGAUUCAGGACUGGCUUUGGGCUCAAAAUGAUUUGGGGUUUCUACUCAGAAACAUCCAAAAUUGAACUAUUUGACAAAUUUGGGGUGUGGGAGCUGUUCCUUUGUGGGAUAUUUGUGAAUGAUUAUGGAAUUGCUGAACUGUAUUACAUAAAUUCAAAUUUUAUUUGCUUGAUGGGGAAUUGGCCUGGGAAAAGAUAGCUGAUCACAUUAUCCCACCUUUGAUAUCAGCUGUUGCUUUGAUUCUCAAACUUUUAAAUGGAGAAAUGACUGUUGUAGAGAAGAAUAAAGGGAUAAGGUUUUGUUUGGUGGACUUGUUUUCCAUGUUUCUUCUCCUCUAAAGGUUAGGGGUGAAAGCAACUUAUAGUUGAUGGUUGUCUUCAGAAAUAAGCUGAUCAUAUCAUAGCUGACCGAUUUCUUCUUUGGCCAUCUUGAAGCAAUUUUAGUAUUUAUUUUAUAAGCUGAUUUUGGUGUCCAAGAAAUUAUUCUUAACAUAAUUAUUUUUUUUUUAAAAUAUCAAUUAUAUUUGAUUGGUAUUAUCAAUUAUGCUUUGCGGACCAAGCAUGACUCAUCUUAUUUGGGCCUCCCACUACUUUAAUCCUACACAGAUGACACAUUUUUAUUAAGAUCCAGAUCCUAUUAUCAUGGACUGGGCAAUGGAGGCUCAGAUCCGGCCGUAAUCAGACAAGCUGCUGGGCCGCCAUGGCUGCAACUACGGUUGCCUGUAAAAUGAAACCCAUUUCACAGAUCAUCCGGGUUGCCCCACCAAGAAACGAGCCCUUCAUAAUCUCUGAUUUACUUGAAAAGUAUCAUCAUAUCCCCUCGAUUUUCUCAUUGGGAACCAAACAGAUCGAGGACCCUUUGAAGGACCCUAAAUACAUCCAACCAAACAAUCAUAAAUAAAUAAAUAAAGAUGGACAUCACGGGUCCAGGGAGGGCUCAGAUCCGCCUGUAAUCAGACAAGAUCCAUGUUCGCCAUGGCUGCAACUACAGUUGCAUGUGAAAAAAAGGGCAUAGAAACCCAUUUCACACAGUCCGGGUCGCCCUUGGAAAGUGUCAUCACAGCCACUUAAUUUUCCUGCACAUUUUCUCAGCAACCAAAUAGAUACAGAUCCUUCUCAGAAAACACAUUUUAAAACACAAACAAAUAAACCAAAACAAAACAAAGACCAGACUCAGCGCGGAAGUGCAUAGCGCGUAAAAGGAAGGCUCAGAUUCGCCUUUUAUCAGACAAGAAAAAGAUGACCGUCCUGGCUGCAACCACAGUUGCUUGUGAAACAAGGCACAAAAGGUCGCCCAAACCAUCCGGGUUGCCCCGCCAAGAAACGGACAUUCCCAGUGCCUGACUUACUCUGAAAACGUCAUCACAGCCUUUUAUGUUGCCCAUAUGAACAGAGAGAGAGCGCUGUUGAUUUUCCAGAGAAUCAAGACAGCCUCUGAUGUACAUGUACACACGUGUAUGAGAAGCCCUUUUCUGAAGUUCCCAAUAUUUCCUACCAGUCCAGCCCGCGCACAGGAUACAAAUUUUUUUUAAAACAUAUGAUGUUAUUUGGUAAUCUGAUCAUGAUUUGCAGGCAAAGGUCGUGUUUUCCAGCCUGGCUCAAAAAUCGUGGAUUUAGGGUUCGUGAAAUUUAAAUCCAAUAGCACAAAAGCAAAGAGACCCCUAGAACAGAUCCAGAAAACACAGGGAGCAAAGAAAAAAACAAUUUUUUUGGUUUUCGUGGGGGGUUUUGCAUGGAUUUUCUCGGAAAUCAAACGAGGAUGAAUUUUCCCGGAAAUCGAAAGGGGGAUGGAUUUUCUUGAGAAUCAAACGGGGGUUGCAAAAAAAUAAUAAUAAUAACAUGAUUAGAUUAGUACCUGCGAGGAUUGAGAGUGGCAGAGGAAAAUAGGGCCUUUUUAGGGAUUCUCUCGUCCGGAGGGCAACUUCAGAAAAGGACUUCUUGAUGCCCGAGUGAGAGAAGUGGAUGGCCCUUUCGAUUUUUAUAUUUAGUAGAGAGAGAAAACAAGGGAAACAAAUCAUGAGAACAAUUUCGCCAUGGCUGCAACUACAGUUGCACGUGAAAAAAGGGCAUAGAAACCCAUUUCACAGACAAUCCGGGUCGCCCAGCCAAGACAUGGGUCCUUUCAAAUAUCUGAUUUACUUGGAAAGUGUCAUCACAGCCACUUAAAUUUCCUGCACAUUUUCUCAGCAACCAAACAGAUACAAUAUCCUUCUCAGAAAACACAUUUUAAAACACAAACAAAAAAACCAAAACAAAACAAAGACCAGACUCAGCACGGAAGUGAAUAGCGCGUAAAAGGAAGGCUCAGAUUCGCCUUUUAUCAGACAAGAAAAGGAUGACCGUCAUGGCUGCAACCACAGUUGCUUGUGAAACAAGGCACAAAAGGUCCCAUCGCACAAACCAUCCGGGUUGCCCCGCCAAGAAACGGACAUUCCCAGUGCCUGACUUACUCUGAAAACGUCAUCACAGCCUUUUAUGUUGCCCACAUGAAGAGAGAGAGAGCGCUGUUGAUUUUCCAGAGAAUCAAGACAGCCUCUGAUAUAUAUGUAUAUAUAUAUAUAUAUACACAC
Molecule: long non-coding RNA, 77560 nt
Filed under: Vitis vinifera (wine grape)
Lineage: Eukaryota; Viridiplantae; Streptophyta; Magnoliopsida; Vitales; Vitaceae
Description: long non-coding RNA (VVIN_LNC003458)
Source: RNAcentral